Molecule: long non-coding RNA, 45920 nt
Filed under: Theobroma cacao (cacao)
Lineage: Eukaryota; Viridiplantae; Streptophyta; Magnoliopsida; Malvales; Malvaceae
Description: long non-coding RNA (TCAC_LNC000016)
Source: RNAcentral
CUCAGUGCUGAAGACCAUGUGCCAAGUCUCUCCAGGAGCAUCAUCACCAGUGAUCUUAGUGUUUAGAAGGCAUCUGCCAGUGUACGGGUUCUUUGGCUUGAACUUGUUCACGACAACACCCUCCUCAUUUUUCUUGGAUUCCUUUACAACUUUUUUGGCAGGAGCCUCGGUCGUAACCUGGGCUCUGACAGAAACCACUCUCCCUCCACUGGAAACAUCUCUGUAGUAAACAGGAACCUGAAAAAACCAAAAGCAACUGAUAAAACUUCCAAUAUAUUGAGAUAAGAUAACAUACAUAUUUUACCAUUAGAAGUAUGAUAGUUUUACCUUCUUGAAGGUGAGUCUUUCUGGAGAGAUGAUCGAGAUUCUAGCAGGAAGAGAGGUGGACUUGGUAGAAGGAAAAGAGACUGCAGCAUUUACAGCAGCCAUGUUUUUGACAAUGAAGGAAGAAGAAGAAAGUACAGUAGAAAUUGCUGUUUGAUGGUUUUUGUUAGUGAGGAAGUGAGGUGAAGGAAACAAAAGGAUGUGAUUUUUUUCUCUAUUUGAUUGGUUUUGGAUCAUGAAUUGGGUGGAGGAGAUUUGAUGGCCAAUGCAGUGGCCUCUGUGAGGAUAAGUCCAUGUGUAAAUGUAUGACUCUUACACCACCAUAACGAGUUCUUUCUAAGCCACUUAACUUCAUUGAUUUUUGAUUCACCUUGUUAUAUGGAAACAGUGCUGAUGGUUCACUAAAAAUAAAAAUGCCUAUAAGAAAUUGAUAUGGGAUUCUUGUUUUCCAACAAAAUAUUCACAAUAAUAUAAUUAAUUGAUUAAUGUAUAUUGCACAUGUUUCUCCAUGGGAAUUUAGAGUGACAAUUACACAACUUGAUUCAAAGCGAUGAAUCUCAAAGGAUUGAAAGUUGGGUACAAAACAAAUUUGGGCUCCCUUAUCUCAGUCCACCAAGGCAAUUCAUGGGCAAGCUGUUAGCCCCAUCUAAGAAGUCCAGUUUGUUGAUUAGAAUCACAGGUCAUGGCCCAAGCAAUCAGUCCAAUUGGCCUAUUCAAAGCCCACUGCUCUUCGUGCAAUGGCUAAUUCCCUGAAAGACAGGUAUCUACCAGAAUCCUAGCUUUUGACCUCUAUGAGUUAAUUUUUCAUGUUUCACGGAUUAGAAGUUGGUAUUUCGACCUCUCUUUAGCGUGACUUCAGGUUUCGGAAAAAGAAAAGCAAAAAACUAUUGCAGAAGAUAGAAGCAAACAAGCACUAAUUAUCACCUUUACUGCAGGAUACUUGUGUGAUUUGAGAAAAGAUGCAUCUUAAUUUUAUCCAAGAUAACUUUCAGAUGGAAACACUGAAUUAAUGCAAAUGAUGUGAGUUAGGUGGUAGAUGUGGAAAUGAGGGGGGCUUGCUGACCUGUUUUAGAGGGAAGCUGCACCAUGAAUCAUUAACAGUUGACUAGUAGAUUUGAAAAAAAGAGUAAAUUUGAUAUCAGUUACAACCUUCGAUUAUCACUCAAACUAAGAAUAGCCCACAUCUGUUUUUUAAGUAGGGCAAGCUUUAACUAGAAAUAGUGUUGCCAGCUGGUGAAUUGACCUUAGCCCUUACUAAUGAUGAAUUUCAUGUCUUUUCUGUGUGCAGUUUCUCUGGUGACUGAACCCAAAGUUAUGGGGUAACAUGCCCAAUUACCUGAUGGCAAAGAUUGUCAAAAAGAAGAAAGAAAGAAAGAAAGAAAGAGUGAUGGAAAAGAGAGAUAGUAGUAAGCAAUUCACGUUUUCUGAAAUAUGGUGAAAUUUCAUCGUGACCACCUGGCAUUCUGAAAGGUGUUAUCAUUUUGACAUCUGCCCAUGACAUAAUACAGCCCUGACGCAGAAGGAUUGCAGGGCUUGGGAUUUGAUUCUUUGCUUGCAACAAAAAUGGGGUACCACACAAGAAGAUAAUAGUAGUAAUUCUAGAGAUUAUUAGGUAAGUCAUACUAGACCUGUUCAUUCGAGUUGUCGUGUUAUAAUCGCAAGAUAUUUAGAUGAGGCAUCAACAGUUAGAGCUCAAUAAUUGUAUUUGCAAAGGACAUUAGCAUGUGAAUCUUAAAUUCGAAAGUGAUGUGUGUUUCAUGUGAAUCUCUGGCUUAGCACCUCAACUUUUUUUUCCAAACUCAAAGUGUCUCUUUUAAAAAAGAUGAAUUCGAUCCCCAGUUACCAAAAACUUUAAAAAGAAAGAAUGUCAUCUCAAAGGAGACAACACUGUAAGGCAGACUGCAAAUGGGGACAAAGAAUCGUGCAAUCCACUUUCUGCCUGACAUGCCACCACUUCCGGGAAAAUGUUUCAGCACAGAAGGGCAGACUCGCCAUCUGCAAAACAUUUUGCAUACACGAAGAUGACAGAUAGAGCAAAACAAAUCAAAUAACCAUGAGUUUCAAGAUUUGUUGACCAUCCUUUAAGCUUGGGUAAAUAUCUGCUUUUGGCUCUCUAUUGUUCAUGAAUAUCAACAGAUCAACUGUGGGAUUCUUCCCAACUUUCCUUCAUGGCAACCUCAAAUUGACUAGAUAGUAUUUUGGGAAGGCAUAAAUCCAGUCUUCUUUUGUGGGUGGAUUAGGCCAAGUAUGGAUCCUUCCCCACUUGGGAAUUUUUUAAUUUAUAUUUUGGAACAGGGCAAGUUUGACCAAGGCUUUGUGAGGCUGCUUUCAACCUAUUGAUCAGUGAUGAACCUAUUAAUGAACAGUUUAACUUGCGAUUAUUAUUUUAUUAAAAUUUUAAUAUUUUUGUUGUUUAAAUGGAAGAGAGAAUGGAAGGUCUGUUUUUGAGCGAUUGUCUUCCGCUCUUAGAGAGCGUAACCGGAUUGGCAACAUCGCGGACCUGGAUUGAGUAUUUUUGAAUAAAAUAGGAACAGAGGGAGCAAAGAAAUGGACGUUUCUCAUGUGAGCACAUGUUACUCAUUCUUAAUUUUUUUUCUCGGAGCCACUUGUUAAAAAGGUAGUUAGAUGCAGUCAGCCCUAGGAAAAUACAUGGCAGAAUCAAAUUCCUGCGGGUAGCAGGGUAGGUUUAUUGGACGUUUGACGACGGAAUCAGCUGACAGAAAGAACAACAAAAGGCAGCAGUUCAGACCAGUCGGUUUGAAAGAGUCCAAGUCUCUGAGGUUUGAGGUUGAAUGGUUCUUUCAUGGUGGCUAAAAAAAUCUCAGGUCAACAGUAGCUUGACAAUUAGCAGUUCACCUUCAAAUCAAUGACAAGUCCCCCCUUUUUUCUUCUUCCAGAUAAGAAGCAAUCUUUCAAGACAACUUUUCCCUACCUUAUCUCAUUUUCGAGCUGUUCCAACCAAGGUUGUCACCAGCCUAUCAAUCAGUAUCAAUAAUGCAAACAGUAUCCUUUUUGGAAAAAUAUAAAUAAAUUUAAUUUUAUAGGCCAACAAGCAAUUGUGAUUCCCAAGGGCAGAAUUUCCAAAAUGAACAAAAAAAAUGUGGAAUACAUGAUAUGACCCGACAAAUAUUCAUGAACUCAUCAUGGAAACUCCUUUUCUGGCCUUACAACCAGCGAUGCAACAUUGGUGUGGACACAGAAAAGAAGCAGGCAGCAAACUCUGCAAAAUGACUGAAAAUACUUAUGAUCAUAUAUGGAAGACCUCUAACUGUAUGUACACUCACAAUAGAAUGAUGAAUUUGGAAGCAAAAUGAUGGGAAAUUGUUUUUUCAAUAAAGAGAUUACAUUUGGAGAGGCGAUGGAAUCAGUGAAAUCCCCUUGAACCUCUAGACUGAUACAGCUCCAAUCUACUUUUGGCCUCUUGCAGAAGUGUGUCUAUUGUCUCAUCCUGGGUCAUGUAGGAUUGCUUGGAUGCCCAUUCAAGCACUGUAAGCACCUCAGCUUGGGCAAGUUCUUCGCUAUCCGGUACAUGGAGGGCAAUGUAGCAUAGGAGAACUAGUGCUGAGAGUUGAACAAUUUGUUCCCCAAAAUAAACCAGCUGAAUCAAAUGUUUUGCACCUCCUGCACUAAUGAUUGCCUUAGAAUGAUCAAGGUGUAGAUAGUUUUCUGUGCAAGCAAAAUUGGUAAGUGCAACUGCAGCCUCCUUAGAAACAUCAGCUUCCCUCUCGUCAAGAAGUUUAACCAAUGGGGCAAUCACCCUUGUUUCCGUCGCUCUGAACGUCCUUGCCAAAUUACCGAUAGCCUUGAUACAAGGGAUCAGGAGCUCCGAAUCAGCUUUCUCAAUGAUCUUCAACAGCUGAUCGACAACAAGCUUGCAAGCAUGCGAAUUCGGCUUAAAUGCAGACCUUCUCAAAUCAGUAUCCCGCUCUGCCACAGCUGUAAUCUCCAUCAAUGCCAUGGCCGAGUUAAACUGCACGUCAUCGGUUCCUUUUUCUAACAAAACCGCGAAACACAACAACGCUCUAGACUCAGUAAUACUCCGACAAAUAGGCGCAUUCCCCUUUGCAAGAUGCCAUAAAGCUCUAGCUGCCAUUGCCUUCAUGUAAGCCUUGGUAGCAGGAUCUUCCAAUUCCCUUCCCUUGAUAUUCGCCCCGGAAAUCGAAACAUUCUGCUGAUGUUGAUAAUAAACUUGAUGGAUUUGCUUGACGUUGCCCUGACUGUUACUCCUAACAUGAUUAUUACUCGGCUUUUGUGGCUGCUUCGCCCCUCCUUUCAUCGCCAUGGUACUAAUAACCACAUUGUGCAUCUGAUUCGGAGUUUGGUUCCCCAUCGGAUGCGAAAUCUGAGUCUGAUGUUCUUCAUCAACAACAUUUCUCACAUUCGAAUGAUUGCUACUCGCCAUGACAACCGCGUGGAUCGAUGUUGCCUUGUUACUAGCAAUUGCAUAUUUGCUGUGCUCUUGAAUCGUUUCAAACGCCAAAUGGCUAACGAGUUGUCGGAUUAUGUUAUGCUGGGCAAAUAAAUCUUGGCAUUUUGGAUAAUUAGCUGCCAGCUCGGAUACCGCCCACGCCGUGACAGCUUGAACCUUCAUCGGACCUUCUUUCAGGAUUUUCGCGAACACCGUGCAAACGCCGGCGUGGAUCAUCUGCUCGACGCUUUCCGGGUCCCGUCCCAGAAGACCAAUAGCUCUGGCAGCGUUUUCUUGACCUUCUAUUUUCCCUUCUUUGAUUAACUUCAAUAGCGGCCCAACCCCUCCUUCUUCUAUAAUUAGUUUCCCGUACCGAUCAUUAUCUCUGGCUAGCGAAACAAGCGAAGCCGCCGCGUCGGACCGAUCGUCGGGUGAACCAGUGAAAAGAAUCGCGAUGUGCUCCCAAAUUAGGCAUAGAAUCGGCUCGUUUGCAGCGAUUGGAGGGAGGCCUAAGUAUUCAUCGUCGCGAUCGUCAGCAGAAGCUGAUACACGGAGAAGCCAGGAGACAUCGCCAAUUGAGUUCUCGAGCUGAGCAGACAUUUUGCGGAACGCGGCAGCUGGGAUGAUCGUGAACACGCGCUUCAUAAGGCCGUUGGCGCGGCAUUUGAGGACCAAGUUAAGGGCUCUUUCGAGGACUUGCUCGGUGUCGUCGAUUAUGCGGCGCGUGGGACGUUCGUAGAGGUCGGAACUCGCUCGCGCGGCUUGUCGGAGUAAGCCAGCGAGUUUCUCCGUCUUGGAUUUAAGCUCCGCACACUCUUGCUUAAACGAACUUGCUUCAUCCGCCGCUUUCGUCACCUGGUCCGCUAACUGAAUCGGCUUCACCAAGAUUUGCUUCACUAUAUCCGCCAUCACAACCCAAAACAGAAAACCUUGAUCAGAUCAAAAAAAGCAAUGAAACUGAAGAGAAAGCGCUGAUCUUUGAUGGGUCUUGGUGGGUGUUUCUUGUCUCGUAAAAGGCUUGAUGAGCGGAGGAGAUGGAGAGAGGAAGUGGGGUAGUUGAAGGUGUUUGAUUAGGGGGAAUUGUUUGCGGAGUUAAUUGCUGCUGCUGCUUCUUUACGGUGCUGCGGGGAUGUUGGGUUGGGUGUCUUUUGUUUCGGGCUUUGUUGCAGGGUGUGGACGCGUGAAGAAGGUUGAUGAAAGAAGAGAAGAGACUUUCAUGGUGGACGAGUUUUGCAAGGUCAAACGCGUUUUCAUAGUCUUCUUUAUAGCACUCUUUGCUGCUCCUGCUCUUGUUACUUUGUUGUUGAUUCCUGAAAAUAAAUUAAAUAAACAUAUAAAUAAAGUUUUUCCUAAGCAAAGGAGAUGGGACAAAGUUGAAGUUUGAACAGAGAAAAUCCGCUGUCACUUUUAUGUUUUUUAUUUUGAUUUCAAUUUCAUCAUCGAUUUAAAAGUACCCACUUACCCAUGAAUAAAUAUUAAAAGAAUCCCAACUUAGAUUUUUCAAUUAAAAAUUUGAAAAAGCUCAUCAAAUAUUUUAAAAACUUUAAAUAAACUUUUUUCUAUUUUAUUCAAUUAAAUCUUUAUAUUUUUAUUAUAAGUUAAUAAAUUCUUAUCACUGAUUAUUGAUUAAUUGUUGUUAAUCAAAAAUUAUUUAUUAUUUUAUAUCACGUCGUAUUAAUGUAACAUAUUGAUUUAUUAUUAUAACAGAUAAAAUACUCACAUUUUUUAGUUUUAAUUGAAAUUCUAAACAAGUUCAAUAAUUCUUGAAAUGGGCACUCUUUUUAAAAAUAUAUUUUUCGCUGAAUACAUAAAUCUAGCCGUUAACCAAUUGUUAGUAUUUUUAAGACUUAGCAAUUCGUGUUAACGUGUCGUAAACGUGUCAGACACGAUUAGACACGAAACACGUUAAGACUAAACACUAACACGAUACGUUUAACAUUCGUAUCUUAAAUUUGAAAUACGUACACUUACACGUUUAAUACACGUAUAACACGACACGAUACGAUUAACACGUUUAUUAAACGUGUUAAUAUAUGACACGACACGAUUAAUAACACGUUUAACACGAUUAAAAAAAUAUUUAUAAUUAAAUAUAAUUUUAUUAUUUAAAUUUAAAAUCUAUAAUUAUAAAAAUAAUUAUAAUAAAACAAAAAUAAUAAUAACAUCAAAUAAUCACUAAAAGUUAAAAAUUAGAAUUAAGCAUGUAUAAUUACAUUAUACCCUAUAUAAAAUUAAAAAAACUUAUUAAAAUAAUUAUUUAAAAUUAUUUAUAUAAGGUUAAAAUAGUUUUUAACUAUUAAUUUUUAAUAGGUUAAUAAAUGUGUCACGUAUAUACGUUUAAACACGAUAACACGAUUAAACAUGAUAACACGAUUAAGUAAACGUGUUUAAACGUAUUUUAAACGUGUUUGUUAUGUCAUACACGUUAAGACACGAAAAUUUUCGUAUCUUAACGUGUUUGACAUGAUUAGACACGAAACACGUUAAUACUAAACCCAAAACCUGUUUAAUUCAUGUCUUCUUAUGUCGUGUUAACGUGUCGUAUUCAAAAUUGUUAAGUCUAAUAUUUUUGUUAGUUUGAUGACGUGAUAAUAUUAAAAAGAUAAUUUUACUUUUUAUUAAUUUAAAAAUUACUAUAAUUUUUUUUUUUUACAAAAAAAAAAAAUCAGUGCUCCUGGGAGAGGGGACCACCUCCAUUAAUUUUUUUUUUUCAAAAAAAAUUAUAUAAUAAUAAUUCUUAAAAUUAACAAAGAAGAAAGGACAUUUUAGUUUUUUUUCAUAUUUUCUGUUAACGGUGUUUACACUUUUGAGAUGAAUUGUCCAUUUCUAAUAUUAAGUGAAAUUAUGUCUACAAGUUAAGGGUGGGGAUAUUUUUAUCUUAUUAUAAAUAAUGACAUGACAUGUUGAUAUGAUAUAAUAAUAGAAAUAUAAAAAUUUAAUUAAAUAAUGUAAUAUAAGAAUAAGAAUUUAUUUGAAUUUUUUUAAAUAUUAUGUUUUAAAUAUAUACAUAAUUAUUAUUGAGUUAAAUAUUUAUGUUUUAAGUUUGAAAUUAGAACUUCAAUUUUUGAUUUUAACAAAAUACAAAUUAACCAAUAGGAAAACACUAGAUUCACAGUUACCUCACACGUUCUCGAUAAUUUUUCAAGUGAGUCAGCACAAUAAUUAACUUCUCUGAAAAUAUUUUUAAAAUAUAGAAAAAGAAAAUACAUUCAAUAUAUUAAAGUGGAGAAAAUGAGAUUGUAAGGUUAAAGGCUUAAAAAGAUGACAACAAUGUCAUUUUUCCCAUUGUUACAACAUGGCACAUGAUAUUUUAAUGAACUAUUAAUUACAUAAAAAAUCUAACCCAGACUUGCUUUGGGUUUUUAAAGUAAAAGUUGUUGUUGCACUCAAUCACAUGCAUAUUGCCCAAUCCCUAAUCACUUUGAUAGAACACCUAAACCCCAAAGAUAAUUAGUUGAACUAAAGAGAACAGGAAAGGAUAAAAUUGGGUUUGUACAUCAUUUCAUGCCAAUCAAUGGUUUUGGAAGCUUUUGCAUUUAUAUUUUAUGGAUAUCCCCAUUUCUCCGAAUCUUCUUUCAAACUUUUACUUUUCUAGAUUGAUGCCCUAAUCUUUCAAACUCUUUAAUCCUAAAUCAUCAAGCUCAUUCCAAUUCUAUAUAUGAAACAAAAGCCUUCUCCCAUAUAAUUAGUGGAGUGGAUGGACCUUUUGAUUUGGAUAUGAGAUUACUUUCAUUGAUUGUACUGAAGAAUGGAGCAAAAGGACGAAAAAGAUGAGAAAAAAAAUAUAACCUCAGUGACUAAUUAGGGUUUUUAGAGUCUGGUUUUAGGUAUUCCUUUAUAGUUUAUAGGUGUAAUUGUUUUUCAUCAUAUAAUUGCACUAAAAAAGCCAAAAUCGUUUUCAGUACUUGAUGAUAUAUGCUUUUCACAAUUUAAUUCUUUAAGUAAUGAACAAAGAAAAUGUAAUUUCAGCAUUUUGAUUCUUAAUAUUAUAUGUUUUCCAUUAACCAACUCUAAUUAAAUUAACAGUAACCAAAGUUAGUUUUUGAACUUUUAUUUUAGAUUAAAUAAAUCUUUAUAAUUAAUAAUUGAUUAAUUUAUUAAUUAAAAUGUUAUUUGUCAUUUAUGUCACAUAUAACUUGACGUAAAAAGCGUGAAAUUAUAACGUGAUUGUAUCAUUAUGUCACAUUAGCAUCACAUGAAAUAAAUUAAUAAAUAAGUUUUAACUAACGUGAUAUUAUACUCAGAAUUUUAUUUUUUAAAAAAAAUCAAAGAAGAGAAGUAUGUUUACUAUUCUUCCCGAAGCGAGUACUAAAUUUGAUAAUUAAUAGGUGCAAUUUCCGAAAAUAUUUUUUGAGAGAUGAAUUCAUUUAUUUUGUAAGAAGACAAAUAAAUAUUACAUAAAUGUUGAGGAGGAUUGAGACCAAUAAAUUCGUUUUUAUUGUAGUGGUCUGCAUGUUUUCUGCCUAACAUGCUUUCCAUCUAUUCCAUUUACAUGGUUGAGGAAUAUUUUUCUUCAUUUUAUUUUAUUUUUUAUUAAUUUUAAAGAAAUAUAAUUUGUUUUUCAUAUAAUUGGAUUGGUAUUUUUCAAACCAGUUGAAUGAAAAAAAUUCCUUGUUAAUAUAGGACAACGCACAUGCACAUAUGUAAAUCAUGUAAACAAAUUUUUGGAAUAUGUAUAUACUUUUUCUUUGAAGAUUUCGAUUAAAUUUUAUAAUUAAUAUAUAUAUAUAUAUAUAUAUAUAUAUUAUUUUAGAAGAUUUCUUUCGAUUUUAUUAAACCGUGUUGAAAAUUGUUGUGAGGUGUCAAGCUUAGGGAAACUAAUUAAAAAUUUUUAGAAGAGUUCAAAGAGAAAUUAAUAUUUUAAUUAGGCUAUGAUCUCAAUAAGAGAAUUUUAUAAUUUGGGUUUUCAAAAUUCGUUGAGUUUAAUAAUUUAACAAAGAGUUUCCGAAUAAAAAAAAAUAUAUUUUUUGUGUCUUUGCCAAACAAAAUUAUUAGGUUUUCUUCAAACGUUAGCCAAAUUAUUGCCAUUGAUUCCCAGACAGAGAGGGCUUACAUGGCCAUUUUUUCCUAAAAAAUAAUCAUUUCAUUUUCCCUAAUAAAAGGCAAUAAAAAGCACUUCCUUUUAGGUCAUGUUCAGGAAAUACCAAUGCUUGUUCACCCUUUAUAUAUAUAUAUAAACAUAUAUAUACUUUAUAUAUAUAUAUAUAUAUAGCGUAUAUAUAUAUAUCUAAUUUAGGAGGAAAUUAAUAUCAAAAUUUGAUUGAUAUUUAUUUAUUUAUGUAUUUUGAUUUGGAAGAGAGGCAAAGAAGGGUUACUUAAUUACCAACAAGAACACCUUUUUGUUUGCAGCAUGCAGGGCAAUAUUAAAAUCAUAUGCUUAUUGGCAUGCAGGACUCUUCCAAUGAGUUUAUUCAUAAGCUUCUUCUUCAUCAAGAAGAUAGCUUGACAAAGCAUUCGAUCAACAGAAACAGCAGAGCUCCAUCCUUUUAUUUCUUGAACCCAAGGCUGUGGAAAGUGGAAAACUUGUUAUAGAAUUCGGGCUUCUUCCUUUCUGAAACCAACAUAAAGAUGGUCAAGUUUACGCUUGUUGGAGUUUCUUAAAGAAGCUGCUUAUAUAUACAUAUAUGUUAGCUUUACACUUCUUCAAAGCUCAGAGCGUUUUCCAAGAUCAAGCGCCCUUGAAGGUGACUGAUAACGUUUCUGAAAUGAUACCAAAUGACCAGGAAAUGAUUCAAAUUUUGUGCAGUUGAUCAAGAAAAUAAUUCAAUGAUAGCUAUCUUAUCUCUAAGAAAGAAGUAUGGAGUUGAAAUUAACAUGACCCAGAGAUUUUUUUUUUAAUUUUGAAGAAGAAGAAGAAAAAAAGCUAUAAAUUGGAGUAAGAAGGGUAUGUAUCGCACGUGUAGUUGAAAGAGUACUGGUGGGCAAAAGUAGAAAAGUUAAUUUCGUUGCACAGUCGAUAUUGACAAUUGAGCUAUGAUAUGUUAAAGCUACGCUAAUUCUUCAAGCUUGUAACGACUUUGAUUUUUGUUUUGCCCACAAGUUUUCUUCUACUUAAUUCCUCCUCUCUCUUCUAUUUUACCCAUCACAGGAUUUGAUGUUUUUCUUGAUCUCAAAGCUGAAUUGUAUCAUCUGAUGCUACUCCCAUGCCGGUCUCGUACUGAAGUUUUCUUUUUCUCUGGGUAACUGUCACAUAUUCCCGACAUCAAGGAACAGAAAAAGCCGUAACUGUGGUAAGAAUAUACAUCGUUACUGACAAAUCAGAGUUGCUACAUCAGGCUGGAGAUCCACACAAGCAAUUCCUUGAGGACCCCAUAUCCUCUCUUAAAUCGUGAAAGUGCCUUUUCCUGAUAGAAACAAUGAUGCUUAUCCCCCCGAGUACAAACGACCAAGGAUGGUUCCUACCUAGUGGUAGCCUGUCAGAGGUCUGAAUCUGAUUUAAGCAUCAAAUCUACCACUCUAAUCUAUAUUCCCCUAAAGAAAAGACCAUAAAAUUUGAAGAUUUUUAUCAUGUUUAUAUUUACAUCUUGAAGAAAUUCUGAUGGUAUAGCCUUUUUUUUGUCUGUUAUGUAAAUGGAUCAUUACCCUUAACAAGGCAAAACAAAGAAAGAGAAGUAAAGAAAGUGAAAAAGUGAUCAUAUCACUAACUUUCUUCUUGGUUAUGAACGAGAGAGAGAGAGAGAGAGAGAAAUGAGCCAAAUACAUCCAAAUCCCAUCAUUUGGAAAUGCUUGAUUUUGGUCCAGUUAAAGUCUCUUUAGCUUAAAGAGUAUCUUUUAAUCGAGAAAAGGCAGCCCCCAGGAAGGAAAGAAAAAGCGAAAACAAUGGCGAAACUGCGACUCGAAACUUUUUGCAUCUGUUUACAUAUAGUUUCAAAAGCUGACAUGAAAAGAGAAUAUUGGGAAAUUGAUGAACUUAGGGUUCCUUUUUGCAAGGGAUUUCGGAUGGGAUAAUGAUGCAGAUUUGGUUCUGGUAUCUACAAUUGUCAGUCACCAGUAGAAUCCAGGGGAAUCAAUGUGCCGACAUCAACUAAAACAAGAGGAGCAAAGACAAGAUCCAUAGCAUUUGGCUACAUCAGGCAGCUCUCUCCUUUGUCUCAACAAAAUUGGAACUGAUCAUUCAGGAGUAUCUCUCCAAUUUUCUUCAACCAAUCGAAAGCCUUGUGCAAUGUGUAAUAAUAUGUAGGAAAAAGGAAGGAAAGCAAGAAAAGAAAAAUGGCUGAGAGCAGAAGGAAACUGGUGAGGGAAAUCUGACAAAUUAAAAUGCCAAACAUUAACUCUCUCCCACAGCCCACAGUCCUUGUUCAAUAAUCCAACCAUCCUCUUUCCUUCACAUAUUUUUUUGUUGCACUCCUAUCAAAUACAGGCAGUAUAGUAUAUUGGAGGUGUGAGUGAUGCAAGUUUGCACAUGUUUGGCAGCUUGUUAAGCGUACGUCUUUCCUGGAAGCAACCCCAGACAUGGAAUUUGAAGUACUUGCUGAAAACGUCGCAAUCCAAACAAGAACCUGAUUUAUAGCUGGCGAACCUUUUACUCCAUUAAUUGAUGAGCAAAUAACAGUGCAAUAUGGACAAUACUACAAGAAAAAGAGAUACUGCAUAUUUUCUUGCACUUUGUAAAAUUUAUCAAAAAUUAAAUAAAUAAUCUUACAAAAAAAUAUUACGACGUCUUAUUUUUUUGAAGUCUCAAAUAAUUUGAUUAGAAGAUAAAAAUUAAAUACUCUUAAUUUUUUUUAAUUUAAUUUAAUUUUGAAAUGAGCAGAAUAAUUAGCAUAGUUUAGCAUCAGUGUAUCAUAUUAUCACGUCAUUAUCAUGUGUGAAACACAUGUAUGCAUAAAAGCGAGUUGAAUAAACCUUUUCUUCACCAGAGCUUUACCCUCUAAAACAAGUUAGAUAAAUUUCUUGAAGGUUCAUUAACAAGACAACUUGAAUAAGCUGCAUUGCCUACAUACACGAAGCCCUGGGGUCUAGGAGAUUUGUCCCAUCCCCCAAGCUGCCAAGCAUCCUUUAUUGAAACACUGCAUAUCUUUUGCAGGCAUGAAGGUUACAGCCUAACUACAGACCUUUUCAGUAAAUUUUUUUGCUGUUUCCAUGAAGCUGCCUUGUCCUUGCGUGCUAAUUGUCUUGGGUCAAUCCUAUGGUCCUAAAAACACCAAUGAAGAAGCAAUCAAACAAGUUAUAAGGAUUUAUAUGUACACGCAACAAGAUAACAUCAGUUUUUUUGCUCAUCAUGGAAACUGGGUAUAUGUCAAAUACUCAAAAUGGUUUGUAGGCAUAGCCCCCCUUAAUUUCCAUUUUUUUUCAGAAUGGACCACAAAAAUAAAGGGUAGAACUCUCUAGUUUCUGUGUUUUAUCUCCUAAAACAAAACAACUCUCAGAGGUUGGAAGGUCUCUUCUUGUUGUAUCUGAAACUAUACUUGGGAGAUUUGUGGUGUCAGUGAGAUGUCCAGCCAUCUGUAUUCCAACCACUCAAAGUUCCACAUAGGUGGACUUAAUAAAAUCAUUUUGGAUGAAUAAAAUUCUCAAUUAUCUAAAGCAAAACAGAAAAAAAAAUCAAAGAAAAUUGCUUAAAACAAGCUAAAAUAUAUGGUAAUAAAGAGCCAAAAGCUAUGGUUUUGCCUCUUAGAUCUCAUUGUCUUUCAAGCUAUGUUUGCCAUUCUUAUGAACUGAAACAUGCAAAACAUCCAUCUUGAGAAACUUUCAAAAUAAACAUGAGAGUUUCAAAUGACAUUCUGUCAAUCUUUUGGCAGAUUUAAACAAGUAGGAGUCACCUUUUCUCCCAUUGUAAAGAAAGUAGUACUAAACUUGGCUGCAUAAUCACUAGUAGGACCAAGGUUUGUAAGUCCAAUAAAGUAUAAAGAAUGCACAUGCACCCAUAUGAUCAAAGUGUUACUUAUCUGUCAUUUUCCAUCUCGAGCAGUGAAGGGUUGGUUACUUUACAAAUUUUCUUUGUUCACACCAUCUGAUCUUCACUCAUUAACUAGCUAGCUAGGUACUCGUGUUUUUCAUGGAUUUAAGCCCUGGCCGGUACUCUCCUUUUCACCAUUUCAUUUUAAGUAAUUGAAGCACAAAGAAGCUGUCCGCCACUCCUGGAAGAGUACACCAAUUCCAUAAUGCAAAUGUGUGGAUCAUGAGAAAUUGACCUCUAUUAUAUUUCAGGGAAAAAAGAGGGAGAGAGAGAGAGAGAGAGAGAGAGAAAUAACUAACGAGAGUACUUUUUUUUCCCAGCCAAUUUCAACAUUGUGCUAACAGAGAUGCAGCUGAUUUCCAAUACUUUCAUGCAUGUUAAAUUUGCUAAUAGAAACAUACACUGGGGACAAACAUUUCCUUACAUGUCUACUGUGUCGGUUCUCUGUUUCAACCUUUUCGCCCUGUGACCUGUGGAAGUGCGAAAUCCAUCUCGCCCGAUGACAGCCAGUAGGCAGGACAAAAGAAAUGAAUUGGAUGCAUUAAAAUUAGAAACAUUUUCCAGUUAAAGUAGACACUUUCUUUUCUUUUCGACUAUUCCCUCUUACUCUAUUCACACCAUGCAAUUGUGUGCAUGGAAUCGUGGAUACAUAAAGGGACAGAUCACGUCAGAGAUAUAGGCUAUCUUUGCUUCUGAUUCCUUUGGCAAGAUACAUAUUACUCAUUAGGGGCCCAUACUCCAAGCUUUUCUGCUAACAGCCAAGCCCACAACUGCAAUUGUUUUUUGGAGGUUUCCAGGGUAAUACAUAUAUGCAUUUCUUUCCUGGAAGUUUUAAAAUCCAUGCUAGAGCUUGAAAUUGACAAACGAAAGGGACAUGCACUUAGUUGAAUCUGAACCGCUUUCAGGUCUUUAUAGGUGCUGGAAUUUUCUUGACCCAGUUGCAUCAGGUGGAAGCUCAGAAUCUGAGGGUAAAACUACAUGGACAAGAGAAAUAAAAAAGGAACAGAAGGUUAAGAAAUUUGCAUGUGUAAAAUGAGGAUUUAGACCCAUGCCACCGACAGCAAGAUGUGUGAUAGAGUAUGAUUCUUGAGACUAAAGAGAGUUAAUUAAGUACGGAUUCUGAUGCUGGGGUUUUGAUUUCUUAUUAGAACAUGAAUGUGACCGACGACAUGGAAAUGGAAUCAGCAUCAAGGUGACAAUUCCAUAUUGCUUUCUUCUUCGAUGAAUCUAUACACCUAUAUGGUCAUCUCUCUGACAUGAAAAAUAACCUGGCUAUUCUACAUCCUGGAAGGAUUCAUCCUUCUCUGCUCUUCUUUCUCUUUACCUGACCGUUUUCUUUUUCAUAUUGACCUACUGACAUGGACAUUGAUUUUACUUUUGUAGGGCCAAAAAAGAAAGAUUCCUUACUGUUUUCAGCAUCCUAAAUAUUCCUUGAUAAGUGCAUGUGGAUUUUUAGCCAGAAAUCAAGAGACCCUCCGAUUUAUCUCACAAAAAUCCCACAAAGACCACAGAAAUUUACUUAGUAACCAACGGGUAUCCUGUAUUGAUUAAUGUCAGGUUUGACAAGAUCAUGGGCGAAAUCGUUCGCUGUUUCAGGAAUGUGUUCGAUUUUCCAGCUUUCUCGAUAUGCAAUGCAAAAUUCUUUAAUCUCCAUGGAGUAGGAAAAAGGAUUCAAGAUCCAUUUUAACACGUUUGAAGAUUUACUUUUAAGAUAAAACUUAUUGUCAGUAUGAUACUCUACUUUCAAGUUUCAAAAAGGAAAAUCAAAAUUCCGAAGCCCUCCCUCCCUUAAUUAAUUAGUAAAAGAAAAAAGGGGAUGCUGAAAAAUGAGGGAAGUGACUUGCAUUUACGACUUGCCGAUCCGCAAAUGUCAUCUGAUUCCAUUGCAGCAGCUAGCCAGGUCCCUAAGCAAGUAAGCAAUGACAUGGCGUUUCGAUAUGUCACCAUUGUUGGGCUAAACACCUGUGGGUCAUGGCUCCUGAUUAACUAAAGGCCGACUCUGCUUUAAAUACUUGGGCCAGCUCCCAUCUGACUGUCCAAUGAUUCCUGGGAUGGUGUUUCCUGACAGCCACAUGUAUCAUGUUGCUCGUAUUAACGAGGAGUUAAGGGCACACUACAAUAAUUGUACUCUUCAAAAUUGAGGGAAAAGGAAAGAACACGAAAAUUCAUCGGAGAAAGAUUAUCACAACUGGCCCCUUACCCUUUACCUAGCUUAAUCAAAGUGGAAUUCGAUUUCAAGCUUUACGGAUUCCAACUUCUAAGCGAGAUGUAUAAUCUCCAAGGACCAUGGCUGCCAUUUAUGCCUAGUUCUCAGCUAAAGGUGCAAAGACCCACCUCAGCUCAGUAAAACUCAAAUUCCAUUCAUAAACCAUACUUUUUCAUGCACCUUUGCCAUGAUGGGUUGCAUUUAAGAAUGAGUUUAUGGAAGCAGAGUCAAAACCCACAAAUCAGAUCCCAUCUGCUUAGAUUUUAAAGCCUCCAUGCUUGUUUUAUAUUUUGUUCAAACUCCAGUCUUUGAGUUCCAACUUCCAACUAUAGAAAGAACUGAAAACAGAGUACGAAUCCUUUUUGGGAAGCAGCCAUUCACUUGCUUGCGCUACUAUGCAAUAAUGGAUACUGAUGCAGCAAUAAUGCAGCAGCCAAGUCCCUAGGCCAGCACAUCAAUGUUUUCGACAGGGCUUUGCGAUGUACCACCAUCCUUGGUCCAAAGCUAGCUGUGGGUCAUUCUUCUUUGAACUUAAGCUCCACGGUUGAUUUCUGGCAUGGCAUCCUCUACAUCUAUCCGAUGCUACUGCUCAGAACACCAUGGAGCAAGGAUUUUAACGGCUUUCCAUUUAGGUACACUUCUCAGUUGAAGAAGAAAGCUCCCCUGGCCCAAUCAUUAGGCCCAUUAUUCAUAGCUUAAUUAUUCUCACAACCCCAUGUUCUAGAAGCUAGAAUCUAGAAUGUAGAUUCUUGGGAGGAAGCUGUCUCUUUCUCUCCUGCCGCCCAGCUUGAAUCGGAGUACAAACAAACAAUUGUUUAUAGAUCAUGUGCGCACUCACUUUUAAUUAGUUAUUAUCAAAUCUAAUUAAUUAAGAUGAUAGCACAAAGCACUUUCAUGCCUGCCAUGAACUCGAAAAGUGAGGGUUUGUUUACGCAAUAUGGGUGUUUAUAAUUUAAUUUUGAUAUUAAGACUUCAGGAUUUUUAUAUAUAUAUAAAGAUUAUAAACUUUUUAAUAAGAAUUAAUAGGUCCAUCUCAAUCUGCACAAUUCAUAUGGAAAAAUCAUCUCCUUUUUUUUAUUAAAAAAUCUUAAAAAAAUUUUCCGCAAGUUGAACCUAAAGUUUAUCCAUUUCGUAGAUUACAAAAUCUGAAUUAAACAAAAUAAAUGGAGGGUAAAACACUAAUUAAUUAAUACGAAAAAUCGAAUUAUAAAUUCAAUAAACUAUAUCAAAUAAUUGCUCAAUGGAUAGUAAUAUUCUGUAUUUAAAUUAUAUUAAAUUUUAAAUCAAUUCCACUAUCAAAUCAAGACAGUAAUCUAUCUAAUUUAAUAUAUGUUUAUUCUUAAUACUCAUGUGAUACUGAAAUGAUGUUGAUGUAAAUGGUAAAAAUGUCAUGUACAUAUAUGUGUCAUCAUACUACAUCAACAUGCUAUGUUAUUAUCUAUUAUGAUAUGUUAACAUGUUAUAUCGACACUAUGUGAUAUAGAAUAAUAAGUGACAUUUUGACUGAAGACGAUGAAUCAAGUAAUUUGACUCAAAAUAAAAAUAUAAGUACUUAAUUAAACGUAAUAAAAAAUAAAAAUUUAUUUAAAUUUUUAUAAAUAAUUUAAAGUUUUUUUUAGAUAUCAUACCUUAUUUAAUAACUCUAUCAUUUUCAACUACAAAAAAGAAAUAAAUAAUAUAUUUAAAGUAUAUCUAUGAAUCGGUAUCUAACAACUCUAAGAAAAAUAAUAAUAAAAACAAUUUAUGAUUGUCAGAGACAAACCAAUAAUUGAGCAAGACAUAUUUGUAUAUGAACAAUAAAAGAAUAAUAAUUAUAUGAUUAAUUAGUAUAAAAAUGUUGGUUAACAUUUUUCGAUUAAAGUCUAUGAUGAUUAAUUAAAUUUAUACUUAAUAUAAGAGUAUAUGUUAUCUUAAAACGUCUAGAAGGUAUUGAUGAAUAGUCACUGUCCUUUGUAGGAAGAAUAUUCCACGAAGGAAUAGCAAUUCGUCUCCCAUCACAAUCAAGGGUUUCGGUCCACAACCAUUACCUUUGAUCAUGAAAGCUUUCAUGGAAGGAUUAGGAUGGUGGCCUCCACGUAACAUGGACAUUAAUUAGAGAGAAUUGGGUUAAGUCAAAUUUUAGGCACCAAAAGUUUUUGGUUCAAUCAUUUAAUGAUCUUAUAAUCAAGGUUGCGAUAUAAUUGUUAAUUAGUAUAAUAUUUAAAAAAUAUUUAAAUUAUUUUAAAAAGUUUUUAUUUUUUUGUUACAUUUAAUCAAGUAUUUAUACUUUUGUUUCGAAUCAAAUAAGUUCUUAUAACAUGUGAUAUUUACGUGACAUGAUAAUAUGACAUAAUUGAUUAUGACGUAAUAUAUUGAUAUAUUAUAAUUAAUAAUAAUAUGAUAUGUUAAUGUAAAUGAUGACAUGAUCAUGUAAUAUUUUUCAUCAUUCAAGUCAACUCCACGUUAGUGACCUAUAAGUAUUAAAUGACAAAUAAUAUUUUGAUUAAUAAUAAUUAAUUUAUUAUUAAUUAUUAUGGCUUAUUUGACUUAAAAUAAAAAUAUAAGAACUUGUUUGAGCACAACAAAAGAAUAAAAAAUUAUUUGAAUUUUCAUGAAUAUUUUAAGAGUUUUUUCGAGUAUUAUCUUUUAGUAAUUAUCAAAAAAAAAAAACCUACUAACAAAUAAUUUGUAAUUAAAGAUUGUACGCAUGCAAACCUACAUAUAUAUUUAAAGAAACAAAACAAAAAAAAAAUUACCCAAACAUUAAAUAAAAGAAUAAUCAAGAUGAUGAAGAAUCUAAUCAUAUAAUUAAGUGAUAAGUCAAAUGGUAGCAAUGCUUCUAGAUGAGUUGGGGGCAGCAACUCAGCCAAGAACUUAUACCACCAAAAUUUAAUUUAUAUUUAUACAAAAUGUAAAAUUUAACCACCAAUUGAAAAAUCAAUAUAUAUUUUAAAUAGCAAAACCACUUAAAAACUUUCUUAAUUUUUCUGGUUGAGGAAGCAGUCGUGGUGGACAGUUGGAUUAAGUUUUCUAUCAAACAGGUAGCCUUUUACAUCUUAAUUAUAUGAAAAUGAUUUAAGCUUUUUUUUUUUUUGGAAAGCAAUAUCACAUUACUAGAAAAUUGGUCGCAUGAGGAUUACGAUGGAUUUGUCACCUUUCAUUUUUAUUAAGUUAUUUAGUUUUAUUGAGAAAUAAUUCCCUCCUUUGUAACAGGUAUAGAGUCAGUUAACUGUUCAAAGCGAUGUAGGAAGUGUUCCCUGUGGACUGAAGAUACUGCUUCUGCAAGGCAUGAAGGGUAAAAAUUUCAACCUACGAACUAUUUGAAUCAUGGGAAUUAGGUAUUGAGAAACUUGGGAUGACAAAAUCUUUACUCAUUUAAUGUCAUUCAUACAAAAAGGGUGAGGUUUACGAACUUCAAUUGGCCAGCUUCAAGCACCGUCGGCAAAAGAAACCAACCCAUUGCCCAAAAUUUCAACAAUCUUGACCCUUUCAAAAUUUGUGUGAGAAUUGAGAUCAACAUGAUUAUCUCCCUUUGAUCAGAUUGUAAUUCCAGGGUUUGGAGGCAGUCCUUCCAGGCUAGCGUGACAGCAAGUUGUCACGAUCACAAAACAAGCAUGGAUGGACUUUUGUCUGUCUUGCUUUAAUCUGACAAAAGGCGAACUUUGUAUAGGAUUUUCCUUCUGUUUACUUGGAGCAGCGGACUCUGUCUCUGUCUCUCUCUCUCUCUCGACCAUCCCUUGAUUGGUAUGUUUGAAAGUUUGAGCACGGAUUGUUGCAGGAUGUCACUCUUUCGAUUAGAAUUUACUAGUGACAAUAGGGAAUUUGAAUCGGAGGACCCCCAUAAUGGUGAAAAAUCAAAUCUCAUUCAUUCACUGCAGUAGUAUUUAAUUGGAGAAAAAAGAAACUAAUUUGUUGACUCUCCUCUUUCCGAUAGAAGACAAAUAUAGUAAACAAAGAAACUAAAUUGUAAACAACAUGAAUUAGAGUAUUUGAUUUAUUAAUUAAUAUAUUAUUUUUUAUAUAAAAAAUAAAAUUCGAAUUUUUUUUCUUUCAAUUACAAAAAAAUAUUAUAUACAAGAACUUGGACAGAAUAGAAACUCUGGGAACCUUUCCUUGACAUUUCAGCUCUCAGAAUUUGUCCAGAUUCCCUCAUUUUCUCCAAAAAAAUAAAAAAAAAACUAAUCAAAUCCACAGAAAGAAGCAAAGGAUGAUAAGAAUUGGUCAGUUUGAGUGUGAUUCAGGGUCCAAUUGCUUGUCAAAAUUAACUGGCAUAUGAAUCAAAACAAAAGGUUCUAGAGCAUAAAUCAAGCAACAAAAUUAUUCUUCCAUGUCAGACACGCAAACCCAUUACACUUUGUAUGGAAAUAGUUGGGUUUGCUUUUUUUCCAAGGUGAUGGUCCCUUUUGGCUCGUCGUUUUCCAUCCCCAUACAAAUUCAAGAGUGAAAAGCUUUCUCUCUCUUUUUUUUUCUUUGCGCCUGCAAUUGACUUCUUGCAUGAACUCAAUAGGGACUGUGUAUUAUCUUCUAAGAGACAGUUAUCAUGUUUAUCCUCAUUUUUUUUAGUUGAAGAACAGAAAUUCGAAUCUUAUUUUUUAAAUAAAAAAUUAUAUACUAAUUAAUAAAUUAAAUGUUCAAAUAAUCCAAACAAAUAAUAGAUUUUGAAACAGAAAUUACUCAAUCUCAGUUAUCUUUUAUGACAUGUUAGGCACCCCUUUCAAAAAUAAUGUUACGUGCUUGUUAAACAUAUGAUUACUAUCCUAUUCAUAAUCAAAGUCUUAAUUCAUUAAUAAAAAAUUAAUUAUAUGUUUUUCUAAUAGUAAAUGAUUUUAUUGGAAAUUAAUUGAGAGGUAACAAUAAGACAAAUUUGGUCAUGAAAGUCUACGUUUGAUUCCUUGAAUUAGGUAAUUUUCUUAUAGAUAAAAAAAAAUGCUCCCCGAUAAUAAAGACUUUUCUGGUUUCCUUAUCAAAAGUUACUACAAAGAAUGUUCCCUUAAUACUGGAAAAGUGAUGUGAAAUGGUUCCAUUUGCAUACUUUUGUUAUCCAUUUAUUUAUUUUUUUAACAUUAAUUAAAUUAUUCAUUGAGACCCUUCGAACUUAAAACGUUUUCAUGAUUAGCAUAAUUUUCUCACAUAAUACGAUAAUUAAAGAGAAAUUUUGUUUUUAACUUCACUAAUUUCAUCCGGCAUAAUCUUAAUUAGUGAAGGUUUCGUAUAAUUAAUAUUUUUGUUUUUUUAUUAUAACAAAAAUAAAAAUGUUAAUAAAAUGGAAUAUUAACAAAAAAGGAAAUUACUAAAAAUUGCCAUAACAACAACAUAUUUUAAAAGUUUUUGCUAUGAAAAUUUUUUUCCCAAUUUUCCAUAGAUUUUUCAUUUACAACUCAAAAUGAAAAGACUUUCAUCACAUGAUUAAGUAGUUACAUAGCUAAUAUUCUUUUGUAAUUGUGAUUAUGGUAAACUGUAAAAGUACAAGGGAAUUCAUAUUUUCUCAGAGUUGGCCUUUUGUGCAUCGGCUAACCGCAACAAGGCGGAAAAAAAAAGAGCGGAGCUCUUACGUGGCACAAUCAACGCCGCUGAUCGUUUUCUUUUCCGUUAGUGAAUCAGUUUUCUUUUUGCUGUACAGAUUAUGGAAAUUAAAAACCGUCGAGUUCAGCUUCCGACUAGGUAGCGUGAUUCGGAAAGAGUCGACUCGUUUACCAGCACUGAUCGGUCUCCCAACUCCUCCCCCUGUAUCCGGAAAACCUAGAAGCGGAAGUCAACGGCCGUUGGCGUCUCCAGUUAAGCUUACUAUCAUAAACGGCUCGUUUCUCGGGGUCCGAUAAGGUACUGUAAGCCGCGUGGAUCUUCAUGAACUCGUCAGCCGAUGAAUCUUUCCGAUCGAUUGCCGCCACGUCCGGAUGACAAACUCUCGCCAAUCGGCGGUACGCCGCCUUGAUUUCCUGGUUCGAAGCACCGACAGAAAUCCCUAGCACCUCGUACAGCGACGAGCACGCUGCCAUUCCUGGACGACUCAGGUAACCGCUCGUCGAACCUUUCUCUUGUUUCGAAGUGUAAGUGUUGGUCGCGUUUCCAGCGGUGGUGGUGGUGGCUGCGGCAACGAUAGGUGCUUGGAAUCUGGCGCGGGAAGAUGACGGAGGAGAAAUUGGAAAAACGGAGGGAGAGGUCGAGAGGGGAAGAGAAAAGAGCAUGGUACCAAUUCGGUUAUCGAGUUUCGAGAAACAAUCGGUGGGUUAGGGGGAUGAUAUAUAGGCAGAAAAAACUUAAGGAAACUAUUAAUUUUUAAUUUAUUGCCUUUUAACCAUGGUUAAUUGAGUAAUAGCCGAAUUAGUUCUUAUCCAAUUCGUGGUGGACGAGUUUGGCUUGUAACUCAGCGAGUGAGCUCUGCAACUUGAGUUUUUGAGCUUUAUUUUAUUUUUUUUCUUCCUUGGUUUAAUAGCUGCUUAGUUAUAUAAAUGUUUUUUUUUAGUUUUUUUUUAAAUAUCCCUCAUAUAAGGUGUUUUUAAAAAUAAUUCUCUUUAUAAUUUUAAUUAUUUUUAGUCAAGAGAAAUUAAUUUUAGACAAAAUUAUCCUUAAUGAAACUAACUCAUAUGUUUAGGAUCUCGUCUCAAAUCGAUUCAUAUCCUUUGAGCUUUAUUUGUCAAACCAUUCAUCUAUGGAGUAUUCCUCACUAGAAAGAAAACUUUUAAGCAUUUUGAACAUUUUGGAAUAGUUUUUGAUACACAAAAAAAAACUUUUAAGCAUUUUAAACAUUUUUAAGUAUUUUAGAGUGAUUUUUUUAAUACAUGAAAAAAAAACUUUUAGCAUUUUUCACCAAUUAGGCAUAUUAGUUGAUUAUGCUGUUAAUUGAAAUAUGGUUUAUUGUUUGAAGUUGUUAAUUUUAUUAAAUGAAAUUCAAUAAUUUUUGUGGUCUUUAGGCAUUGCGUAAUCAGUUUUUAGGCAUUCGUUGACUUAGCAUUGCCUAAAAUCAAUCAUACAAUACUUAAAGAUCAGUUAUGCAAUACCUAAAACCAGUCACAUGAUGCCUAAAAAUUAAAGAUGUAAUGAUUAAGUCACGUAAUAUCUAAAAACUACUAUCGCAAUAGCUAAAACUCAGUGAUACAAUACUUAAAAACCAAUAAUAUAAUACUUAAUAACUAAUUGAUUUGCUUACUCGCAGCCAAGUUUAAGUUGUCAAAGUCAUACAGAAUUCUAAUUUACAAAUAUAUCUAAUUAAUUUCAACUCCUUAAUGUUGGAGUUCUAUGAAUAAACCAAUAACCCAAAAACCUUAAACAUAUACCUUGAUGUUAUCUCUACUAUUUAAAAUGACAGGAUAGAUAGUAUUUGACAAGAAAAAAAAAUCGAGAUUUAAUUUUAAAUUUUUUUUUUUGGAUUGCUAGAUAGAAAAAACUAAAAUAAUUUUAAUUUGUUUGAAAUUGUUGUUAAGCCAUGCCAAAAAUUGACUAAAAAUAGUUAAAAUUAUAAUAAAAGAUAUUUUUGAAUUAGACUUAUGAGGAGGGUUAUUUUUUAUAAUUUUAUUUUUUUUAUAAUUGAAAAAAAAAGAGAUUUGAAUCCUGUUUUUUAGACAAAAGAUUAUGCACUAAACAGUAAAUUAAAUACUCAAGUGCUGUUUAAUUAUAUAAAUGUUGUCCUUUCAGCAAUGCUCAAUUUUGAUAAAAAUAUAUAACUAAUUGGCAAUUUUUUAAAAUAAAAAUUAAAACAUUAAAUUAGUCUUUGAAUUUUUUUAUUUUUUAAAAUAAAUUAUUAUUAUUUUAUUAUAAAAAAUAUGUAUUUACUCUAUAAUUUAAUUAUUCAUGGAUAUGAUUUGAUGUUAACCGUAAGAUAUCCCUUUUAUCACAUGAUCUUAAGAUGAAUGUUGGUUAAUCGAUAUCUAAAUACGUAGACGCUGAUUUAACUUUUUUGAUGUGAAAAUUACUUUACGUGAAAAUGAGUUGUUUCUAACUCAAAAUCGUGGACCAAUCAUGUAAAGUUGAUACUAAAAUUUUGGAUUGCAAAUUAGUCCAUGUCAACCUUAAUAUCAACCCCAUGGUCCGGCUUGAUCUAGGAUCGACUUGAAUUUUAUAAUUUUUUAAAAAAUAAUAAUUAAAACAAUAAUAUUUUAUAAUCAUAUAUGCAUGUAAAUAACACUCAAAUUGUGUAUCAGUUUCUAGAACACAACAUAAAAUUUCAUACAUGCACGUUAUAAUUUAUUAAUUUUUUAAUCCAUUAUUAAGUUUUAUUAUUCUUUUAUUCUUAACAUUUUAUUUAGAAAUAUUUGUAAUUUUUUUCAUUUAUUCAUUUAUCCUUUGCGAUGGUUAUAAACAUGUUAAAUAAUGCUUUGACUUAUAAAAAAAAAUUAAAUUAAUAAGUGUUUUAAAAUUGAAAAACAAAUCUAUUCAUUACUAAUUCUGUAACACUAAACUAUCAUUUCCUGCAUUAUAUCUUAUCAUUGUAUGCUGAAUCGUAUAAAUUAAAUAAAGACAUAAUUAAGGUUCGAUUUCAUGAUUAUUGUGCUUCUAAUGAUUAAGGUUUCAAUCUGUCAAUAAAAAAAUAAAAAAUAAUAAUAAUACUAAUUAAAUUUUCUGUCCCAACAUUAAUGAUCAACUGUUUCUACAGAAAAUGCAUAAUUAACUUAAAAUUUUCAUUUUGAAGGAAUUGUUGCCUUCGUUUACAAUUUAAUCAAAUCAUCAUAAUUUGGUGAACGUGAUGGCCUUAGGCUAAUCAUCAACAACUGCAUGUGCCAAACGAUGGCUUUUGUUUCCCAUUUUUCAAAGACGUGUCAACUCCUAGCUAUAGCUAUUUCCUAAUGUCUAAUUUAAUAUAGAAACAACUUUAGAACUAACAUUAUAUUUUUAUUUUAAUUAAAAAUAUUAGCUAGGUAAGUUCAAAUGAAUAGCUUAGGGUUCACGAAAUCUGCUGGACCACAGUGGUUGAGCUUCAAUCAACUCCAACCUCCCAAUCUUUGUUUGGUCACGGUGCUUAAUGGUUGUACGUAAGGUUUCAUUCGAUUGAUAAUUUUAGGUUUUUUUUUUUUUUUGUUAUUUUGAUAUUUUAUUUUCUUAUUUCUUAUUUUUUUAUUUUUUUUGUUAAAAUUAGAUAAAAAUAUCAAUCAAAUAAAAAACAAAAAUAUUGAGAGAUUGCUCGUCUUUUAUUCAUCACUUAGUUUCAUGUCUAACCAUUAUAAGUAAGGUUUCAACUAAUCAAUACUUUUGCUUUUUGUUAUUUUGGUGUUCUAUUCUUUCUUUUUUUUUUUAUUCAUUUUAUGUCAAAAAUUAAAAAAAAAAACAAAAUAAAGAGCAAAAAUAUCAAUCAAACAUAAAACAAAACUAUUGGGAGACGGCUUGCCUUCCGUUCAUCAUUUAAUUUCAUGCCUAAUCGUCAUAUGUAAGGUUUCAUUUGGUUGAUAUUUUAUUGUCUGCUUUUUAUUUAUUUUUUACUUUUCCUUUUUCAUUUAUUUUAGGUCAAAAAAUAACAAACAAAAAUAUUAAUCAAACAGAAAACAAAAGUAUCAAGAGAGAGCUCGCCUUCAAUUCAUCACUUAAUUUCAUGCCUAAUCAUUAUAUUUAAGGUUUCGUUUAGUUAAUACUUUAUCAUUAACUUUUUGGUUUUUGUUAUUUGGGUAUUCUUCUUUUCCCUUUUGUUUUUCCUCUUUCUUUGGCCUUUAUAAUUAUUAUAAAAAAAUGAUAGGAGCAUGCAACUACUUGAUACAUGGCAAACCCACAUAGCUUGAGACAAGAUUUAUUUGUACUUAAUUCAAGUAAUUAAUAUAAACUUUAAAAGGUAAUGCAAAUUAUUUGAAAAACUACAAAAACCAAUCAAUUGAAUCUGAAUUUUAUAUACAUAUAUGUGUGUGUCCGACAAUUAUUGCAUUAUUCGACUUAAUAGCAUUUCUCUUUCUUCUUUUCCAUCAUUACUUUCCUUGAUAAAAAAGGGAAGAAAAAAAUCUUUUUCUUUUUCAUUUUAUUUUUUUAUUUAUUUUUAUGUCGACAGAAUAAAUAUGGGGGCCACAUUCUGUCCAAAUAUUGAAUAGAUGCAUUAUAGCCCCACAAGCACCUAGCAAAGUUUUUUCAAAAGAAAGAAGAUACAACAUGACAUAGAUUUUCUUUGGGAUUGAAAGGGUGAUAUUGCAUAUGUCUAGAACAUAGAAAAAGACAAGUUUGAGUGCUAUUGCUUUGUAUAUCUAUAUAUAUGUGUGUGUAUGUAUUAUUAUUGCAUGGCUGCAGUACUCCUUUCCUUUCCAGCUGAAUGGGACUCAGAAAAUUUAUGGAAAGUGGCCACUCUCUGUUUGGCACCAUCCACUCACCUCUCAUUACAACCCCACAAUGAAUCCAUCUCUCUUUGUUCUAGAUUCUCCAUUGAUUUUUCUUUGUUGUCCAAAAGAAACCAAAAAGUCGUACAACGUGCUUCGCCAUUUUCAAUGGCUCUGCUUUUCACGAGAAUAAAAGUCAUUCACAAAAUAUUAAUAGAAAAAAAUAAAUUACAAGACAUAUAGAUAGAAUUUGCCUGUAACUCUUUAUUUUUAUUAGAAAGUCACAUAAUUUGCUUCCCAUUUCUCAAUAGUCCCCCUAUGUUUCUUUAGAUUAAAAAAUGAGUAUUCUAUGAAGAAGUUAUAAGUCAAUGAUUAACUAAUAAACUAAUGCAAUUAUCAUGGUUUCAGUUCCUAGCUCUAGGGGCAACCAAGAGACACACUUUUAUAUUAGAGAGAUGCCCCAUUUGGCCAUUUGCACAUCUUCUUAAUCCUUUUCAAGCCAAGGUCACUGCAAAUCAAUGUGUACUUUGGUGCCCCAAUUUGGCAACUUCCCAUUGCCCCUGUGACGUGGACAAAACAUGUAGCCUGGACACAAAUUUUAUAUAGAUAUAAUGAAAGAAUAUAACUUGUAAAAGACCUUGGAGGGUUCAGCUAGCCAACUAAGCAAACUUAGGUAUACACUGAUAUCUUCCAGGUUACCAAUCAGGUUUUGACAGAAAUUCCAUCAGACCCAACCUGGUUCUGCGAUUGGAAAACAUUUCUAGCAUCCAGAAUUUUACUGGAUCAUGUCUAAAUAUUGUGUACUUUCGUUCCCCCAAUUUGGCAACUUUCCAUUGCCCCCAACGUCUACAAACAUGUAAAUCUAGUCACAAAUUUAAUAUAGAUAUAUGUUGUUCUGCCUUUUUUUUCUCCUUUUGUUUUCUGGUAUUUGUUUAUACCAGAUGUCUGUUUGCUGUCAAGGGUUGGCCUAUGGCCAAUCCUUUUCUGUAGUCUCACAGAUUUUUAAUGAAUUCCCACUAUACAAUGACAGAAAAUGACUUGUAAAAGGACCUUGAGGUUCAGCUAGCCAACUAAGCAAAGAAUACACUGAUUCUGCAAUUGGAAAACACUUCCUCUAGCAUUCAGAAUUUUACUGAUAUAAGUAUAUAAUUGAGCUUUGGAUUCUAUGAAAAAGCAAAAAAAAGAAAAAUGAAUGAUAAUCAUAAGAGCUUGCUGACAGGCUAGAAAUGGUUUCAUCAAUUUGGCAAGAGAUUGCUGAAACGUUCGAGUUGAAAAUUGUCGCUGGGUCACUGUGGGGUUGAUUUGUGCUGUUGCCUAGUAGUUGAUGCUGAUCUCCAUAGACGUGAAACAUAGUCUAACGUCGUCAUUGGUAUCCUAGUGGCUCCAUGCCAACCACGAGCAGUCACCCCACUUCGAGUUCUCCCAUGAUGUAGCAUCAGAUUAAUCCAAUCAGAAAGGAAAAGUUAACCUUUCCAUGGCAGAUUUCAACACCAGCAAAUUCGGUUUUUUGGUCUGUCAAUUGUUCAGCACUUGAAUCAAACAUUUCCAUUAACCUUCCAAUCCCUUCCGUCGAACAUGGUUAAUUAUCUGGGCAACACACUUUCUUUGUUUGUAUAUAUAAUACUAAUGAUGCUUGCUUUAACCUGUCAUAAGGCAGCGUCUCAACAUGAAAUUGCUUGCUAGCCAGGAGCCUUUUCUUAGUGUCUAUCCACGCCAGGUCACUUCGGAAAAUGAUCGGUGAGAAUCAACUUGGAAAGUCAAUGAACUAUCAUCAAACGUAUUAUAUAUUAUUACUAUUUAAUUAUUCCAUGUAAACCCACAUGAACAAGUUGUAAUUAUCUAGUCGGCUGUAGACCAAAUAAUUAUUUGCAUAAUUUGUUUUCAAUGAUUAAGUUUAGAGAGACGACAUAUAUAUAUAUAUGAGUGCUGAUAACAACAUGAUUUUUAUAUUCAUGCAUGCAUGGGAGCCAAGAUUUAUUCCUUAAAUAUAUUGUCUUAAUUUUCAUUAUUUCAUAAGUAGCUUCACAUAUUGUUAUUCUUGACUAGAUUAAAAUUUUGGGUAUAAAAAAUUGAUCCAAGUAGUUGAAUAAAUCAAAUCAAACCGAAAGUUUCAAUUAAUUUAUUUUGUCAAAAUUGAUUAAUGUUUGGUCCUAAACCUAAGAACGUUCACAAGGUACGACUCUUGAAUAUAUCAUUCUUAAUUUCUCUAAGAAUAUGUUGUCAUUUCUAUACAAUUUUAGACUAACUUUCUUUUACAUAUCAAAAUAAGAGGCUACUAUUUAAUUAUAAUCAAUUUUUGAAAAAGUAUUUUAAGAGUUAAAAUUCUUAUUGCACACUUUUUUUUUUUAUAAAAUUUAAAGAACGUGAGAAAGAAAGUUCCUUAAUUAGAGCAAUUUUAAACACACAAAGCAAAACAGAUAUGGAUAUGUAUAAGAAUUUAUUUGUAAAAGACUAAAUCACAUCAAUGUUUUCUCACCCUAAUUAAUAGAAAAUUAAACAGCUCGUGAGUUUUUUUUUGCAUGGAUAAAUACAUGUCGCUAAUUAAAUAUAUAUAAAUGUAUUGCAAAAAAUCUAUAUAUAAUCAUAGUGUUAAGUAUGGAAAAUUCAUCCUAGAAUUAUUUUCCAAGCAAAUAUAGUCAAGAAAUUGAAAUCAAAAUUUGAAAAUUCAAUUCAACAAUAAACUUGGUUGGUUCUUAGAAGAAGAAUGAUUGUACAAACUACAAAUCAUCCUGCUUGUAAAGAAAGACCAACAAAUAAAUAGAUAAAUGAAAAGGACUUCUCACUUUGCAUCUAAAUAUUUCGAUUAGAAGCCCAAUCAAAUGCAUUUUCAACUAAACCCAAGGUCCGGCUUAAGCAAAUCAUCAGCCCAACUUAGGCUGAUUAGCUUCUUUGCCCCAUAAUAGGGUCCAAAAAUCUUUUGCUCGAAAUUUUAUUAAUUGUAAAGAAUUAAUAUUUAAAAAUUAUUGCUCUAACCUUACAAGUAAAGUAUUCGAAUUAGUUAAAUACUCAAAUUUUCAAAUCUCUUCAUAUUUAGGUACUCGAUUAAUUGAUAUAAACAAAAAAGAUACUUAUUUUAUAAUUAAUAUAUGUAAUUUACUAAUAAAUUAAAGAUAUUAAAAUUAAACAAACAUUUAAAUUAAAAUUCCAAUACACUCAUAAUUAACAGUAAACAAGUUCUAAAAUACAAUAAAUAAUGACUUAAAUAAUUAAAUUAGAUUUGGUUAUCAAUUGUCGGGUAUCCAAGAGAUAAUAUCUGAAACUAGUAGGUAAUACCUUUCCAUAACUCGAAACAUACAACACAAUACUUCUUAUCAGAAUCAGUCUCAAACCCGAAUAUAAGGUAAGCGAACUCAGUAAUCAGGUCCAGUAAGUCUAAGUGACCCAAAAUUGAAUAUCAAGAAAUUAAGAAAAUGAAAAAAAAAUGCACUGCCGAAGAGCAAAUAACAGGAGAAAAAUAUCAAGCCGCAGUUACAAUUAACCAACACUCAAUAACAAGAUUGUUUUGUUCAUAUAGCACGCCCUAGAUUAAUUUUCCACUCCAAGUAAUUGAAAAAGUUUAGGUAAAAUUGCUGAGCACUGAUGGAUACAAUGCAUAGUUACCACCAAGGUUGAAAGCCAGAGAUGGAAAAGGAUUAGCAAUACCAUCCCUUUGAUUCCUGCCAUUGGACCUCGUGGAUUGCAGGCAACGCUCGAGAAUCUGAUCCCUGCAAAUGGGACAAUGCAAAGAUGGAACCUGAAGCCAUUCUUCAAUGCACUUCUUGUGGAACAUGUGCUUACACCUCGGCAAAACACUGACACUGUCUCCAUGCACGUAACCUUCCAAGCAUAUAGCACAGUGUUCUUCAAGCUCCAAGGAAUCGUCGUCAGAAAAAGAAGGCUGCGAUGACCACAGCGUCGAUUCUGCAUAUACAAGGGCAGGAAUGGAUGCGAGUUCGUCGUCGAUGGAUGGUGCUCUUGGGUUAACGUUGGUGGGAUUUCUGGAGCGAUUUGACAGGUGAAAGCAUUUGCAGAUUAGCAAAACGAUGAGACAAAGACUUAUCGUUGCAGCCAUGGUUGUGACAACAAUGCGAUGAUUAACAACCACGGUUCUGCAAUGGCCAUUGCUGGGUGAUGGUGUAUAAUCUCUCAGGAGAUGCUUGUGACUCAAACUGAAGUUUGUGGCUGGCUUCAUGUGCAAUGAUGAGGGGGACCCGAGCCCGCUAGAAACUGAUGAAGAUGAUCAACCUGCUGUUACAAGUUACCUGUUUGAGCAAGUGAUGAACGUGGGCGAACGUGCGGCUAAGUUGGAAGAAUGGUAGCAGUAUUCUUUCGAAAUUGUAACUCCAUGUAUGGUAAAUGAUCUGGUCUUUUCUGUUUCUGGCUCAUGUUUGCCAUUUGAACUCUAUUUAUAAUGGGAUGGUCAAUUCAGUGUUUGGUUUAUUAUAAAAAGUAAUAAAUAAUAUUUCCAAAUAAAAAAUAUAUUAUUUAUGUCGAUAGGUAAAAUAGUCUUUUUAUUAUGAUCCCUUACAUAAUUUUUUUAAUUUUUUCAAAAUAUUAAUUCUAUUCUAAUAAAUCAAAUUACAUAAUAUAACUAUUUUCUAUCUUAUUUCCUCUUUAUUCUAUUAAUUUAUUAUCCAAUUAGGAUUAUGAUGUAGCCAUUUGAAAAUUUGGCUGUAUUCGUUGUAUAUAUAUACUUGCCAUCUUUUCUCUAGAUAAUUGUUGUCCUUUGGUUGGCAUUGAUAUUGAAAAUUAAUAAGUUACCAUUAUUUGAUUCAACUAUCCUUUCCAUCUAUGCUCACUUUUUCCUUUAAUUUGAGAGAAGAAGAAUUCAAACUCUAUUCUUUGAGUAAAGAAAUUUUUUUAUUAAAAAAAAAAAAAGAAAUUCGAGCUAUAAGUCCCCAUCACUCCCAUGCAUGAUCCCAUCUCUAUCUACAUAAAGCCUUUUAGAGUAGGCUUUAGGUAGAUAUCAAAUGCUAUGAGCUAAAAGCUGAAAGAAAGGAAAAAUGAGUGAUUCAUGAAGAAAAAUUCUCCUCUUUGUUUCAUAUAAUACACUAAAGAGGAAACAAAUUACAGAUGAUUGAUCCUAUGGUGAUACUAGAUAUGCUGAUGCCCUGACAUCCUCAACAAGUACAGUGUUAAACCACUUAGAAAAAUUGACCCAUAUGACAAUCCGAGAUGAACUGACAUUCAGCAUCCUCAUUACCUGUAAUAUUUACCGGCUUAGGAAGACAAUUUGUUAGAGGGCUUUUUGAUUAGGAUGACUGAAAGAGUUUACUCUCUAGCAUGGAAAGAGGCAGAACAAGAUUGAGGAUACUAUAAUUUACAAAAUGGCAGGGGAAGGACAUUUACACAUCCUUCAGUCAAACUUGAGAUGAAGGAUCUACCAUCAUUUUGGCCGAGAUUUCACUGAAGCCCAUCUGAAGUAACCACAAUUUGCUUCAGGGUUAGAAGAAGGACCCUGCAAGAUGCCAAAGAAACAACUCCAAUUAUUUCAUUUAUCAUGCACCUUUCCUAAUGCAAACUGCAACCAGAGUGGUUCAUGAAAAGAUGGAAAAUGCAUACCUCAGCUCGAGCACACACAUAGAAUCUAUGACCAAAAGUAGGACCUGGUUUCUUCACUACUCGUGAAACACAAGGUUCUCUAUGGCCCUUGCAAAGAGGUAUGCUAUUCUGCAUGAGUUGUUGUAUCCUUUGCCACUCCACUAAAGCAACGUUAUUCCUCUCCUUCUCCAAAUAACAAUUCCCAUCUUGUGCUUCUUGACCCUGUGAGGAUGCACACAAUUUCGUGUCAUUCUGCUUUGGACUGCUUCCAAGAUAAUCCAUCACAGGAGCUUCCUGGGACUGAUCAUUAGAAUCUACAACACCAGGCUGGUUGGUUGAAGUAUCAGUAGUAGAACUGUCAACAGUAUUAUCUUGGUUUGGAAUUUUCUGAAAAAAUGAUCUCAAGGAGAGCUGUUGACUCUUUCUUGCUCUUUUCUUGGUUUCUUUGUUAGGCAUUGAACUGACAUAUUCUCUGUUGAAUGCAAUUGAAGUGUUACAAGCAACCUCCUCAGUGAGAUCUUCAGACUGCUCAUCAACUUGUGGGAUGGUAUGUUCACAGUCCUCGUCCAAUGAACAGCAGGAUGUAUAGGUUCCAGGUACAUUGCAAUUUGUGAUCGACCUGUUGACACUAUGACUGCAACCUCCGACCAUGAUAUUUUCAUCAGAAAAUGAACUUGAUACUAAAUGGGAUUGGACUUGCUUAGCAGCCUGCCUUCUCUUGAAAACUGACACUGUCCAAGAAAAGAGGUGAAAAAGAGAAAAUCUUUGAAAAUUUCCAAUGCUAAAGAAAUGAUUCUGAAAGACAGAUCUAAACUUUAAAUGAGACUAGCAUAAAAAAAGAGGAAUAGUAUCUUGUACCAAGAGUUUGCAGACCAUGAAUCAUGGGCAGAUAUCUAGCAGCUAAAGAUGGAGUGCUAUGCUGUGAGACAUCAGGAAUUUCCACCAAGCUUGUAUAAACAGGAGCAUGGUCUGAACCUUCUAAUUUAAUGUUCCACCCUCCUUUCCACCUACAUGAGGCAAGACAUAAGAAAACACGUGAACAGAAUUAUCUACAUCUUUAGAUCAUGUAAGAUUUGCUACAGAAUAACAUGGUACAACUGUAAGUUUUUCAAAACAAUGAGCAAAACCAUCAAAACUUAGAUGUUUGAUCGUCAGGAUGACCAUCCAGUAAUCUGAAAGGGGGAAAUCUAGUUUUCAAUUUUGAACCAAGUAGAAAGUACCAGUUCAGUAUUGUUUCAUUACUCAAUUCAACCACAGGGUCGGAUCUAACAUUUACCUUGGUGCAUUUCCAGGUUUCCACCGCUUGUACUCUGUCAAAAUGUUGCACUCCUCUACAUGGCAGGUUACCAAAUUAUGUCCGUCAACAUCAUGCUCCUCAUGUAAGCAAGAUCCAGCACAGAGAAUAUGAUCAAUUCUUGUCCCAUAAUUGAAUUGUUCAGCACCAGUAUUUGAAGGCCAACAUGUAAAUGCUUCCCUUCUGUAAAGAUGGAAAAACAAGUAAACAAUCAGAACCUUAAAAUAAAAAAAGCCUUCAUAGCCAGAACUGUUCAAAGACAGAAUUAAUGCCUAUCAGUUAAUAACAAUGAAAAUGGAAGGCAGAACUUCAAAUGAUGCUAUAGGCAGUACAUUAGUCAAACAGAAUGAAAUCAAUGUUAUAAGGAGAAAGAUUUAAACCUGUUGGGAUUUUUUGCCCUGAAAACAUCAAAGAAAUGACCUCCAGAUUCCACUAGCAUGGAUCUAAACCAUGUCCUGAACCUAUAACACAUUCCAACUGAAUUAAUUACUAAAACAAAAAUCGGCUGUAACCUAUACUACUGUCUAUAGAGCUGCAAAAAUGGUAGACUCUGAUAAGUUACAAAAACCAGCCAGAAGCUUACUCAUUCUUCUCAAAAUCUGGUCCUGCAUCACAACGAUCAAUAGCACAAGGAGCUAUGUUAAGAUCACCAAGAACAAAAAUCCUCCUUCCGCGACGCAACAGAGACUCCCAUCUUUUCUACAACAAAGACAACCGGUUUUAAACCCCCCAUUGCACUAAUUUUACACCUUACAAGUGAAAUUUUCUUACUGAAACAAAUUUCCUUACCUGUAAUAUCUUUAAAAAAUUGAACUUGAAUUGAAUCCUAUCAGCAUCAUCACUCUCUGCUCGGGGUCCAUACAAGUUGAAGAGAACUAACCCAACACAAUUAAGCAAGAUUAACAUAAUUAGGCCUUCUUAAAAAACUAAUCAAAUCAAUAUUCUUACGUUAAACUAACCAAAAUGACCAUGAUCCGUGAUAAUACACCGCCCCUCGCUAUCAACCUUGAGAAGUUCCUCUCUUGAGAACUCCUCCAGCCCUUCAGCUACGGAAGCCGCCGCUUCGUCUUUUCUAGAACAUCCUAGAAGGCCUGUGAACCCUUCCUCUGCUGCAAUGGGCAAUGCCGCUUCUACGCUCGAGAACGCCGACUUCACACGACAAAAUGUAGCCACACCUGAAAAUAAACUAAAAAAUGAAUAAAAAAAGGGGAAAUUUCCUUUUUUCUCGUUGAGGUAAGUGACCAAAAAGCUAACCGGAGUACCCAGUUCGGCCUUUAUCGGAGGUGCGAGUGCAUGAAAAGAAAGACUCGUAGCCAUCGGCUAUUGCCAAAUCGGCCGUUAAUUCUUGCCUUCUCAAUUUCGUUUCCUAAUUCCAGGCAAAUAAAAUCAGGAAAGUAAAAUCAUGGAAGUAAAUUUUCCUUCGCAAAAAAAGGGGGGGUGGAAUUGGGGACCUGGAUGCAGAUUAUAUCAGCAUCGAAGGAAUUGAGCAAUUUGGAAAGAGACCCGAACUGUGAGAUUCUUUGCCUCAGACCAUUGACGUUGUAAGUUACUAUCUUCAUUUCUUCAUAACUAAAAAUUUCCCUUUUCGUUUUCUUCUCUGGUUUUGCUCCGACGAGCGAGCGAUGAGAGCGAGAGGAAAACGAAAGCAGAGCAGGUGGCAAUCGAAGCUCAGUCGGUUUUGUCACUUUGGGUUUUGGGCCUUUGGGUGGGCUUUGGCUGCUAAAUUCAGAUACGACCUCUUCAGCCAAUUGAAUUGAAGUCAACGAAUCCUACGAAAGUUAUGGUGCUCUACGAACCACUUGAAAAAUCUGUGUCUUUUUAAGGUUCCUAAAAAUAUAUAUCCGACAGACAGGCCCACGAACAGAAUCGGCACGUGGUCGAGGCUCGUGGAGAACACAAGUUAAUGCUGUCGUGGUUUUCUCUUCGUUGCCCAUUUAGGAUUUUUCUCAAGAAAAAAAAUCCUCCUUAUUCUCUGUCAGAGACUCAAAAUUCACCUCCAAAAAGAAAAAAAAAAAAUUUAGGAUCAUCAGCUUCAGUCUGAAAAACCAGCAUUAAAUCCCAGCUUGAUUUCUAGCUUUUAAUGUGACUGCAGUAGUAAGGGGAAAAACCAGCAUGGAUCAUCAAUGGAAGUCCAACGAUUUCUCAAAAUCUGUUGCAGCAGAUUUGGGCCCUUCAAACCCUGAACCCAGGUUUCUCUUUUUCUGUUUUUAUUCUUUAACUUGGGUCCUGUCUUGCUUAUUUCACCGUUAACGUUAGACUAUUCCUUGACUUGUCAAGAACUGAAAGUAAUUGUUUUUCCUUUUUGUGGGUUAUUUAUUGGUUGAUAUUCGUUGGUUAUAUAUUUUGUGUAUUUGGCAGACAAAGGCAGGAGGUGGAAGUUAAGGAUCCAAUAGCUGCAAGGAAAGUUCAGAAGGCAGACCGUGAAAAAUUGAGGAGGGACAGGCUGAAUGAGCAGUUUCUUGAGUUGGGAAACACGCUAGGUAAAUUAUGGCGAUUCAUCAAUUUGUUUAAUUGCUGAUAUCUUUGAUCACUUGCCAUUGGAUUUACAAAUGUUGCUAGGCCAGUCAGCCUUGCAAGUAGGUAGGGGUUCUUUGGUGAGUUAGUUUAGCAACAAUUGAACUAACCAUAUUAGAAGUUCAAUGCCAUGUCAUUCCUUAUGGAUGUGUGUCUGAUGCAUUCGACUGUUAGAUGCCCGUGCGUUGAUGCAAGCAGUUUAAAUGACUUUUAAUAAGAAUAAUGGUGGUUGAGUUCUGAAUAUCUACUUAACUUAGCAUACUUAAAAGCUGCUGAUAAAAAGGGUAUUGCAAUUUGUCUCAUGUUUUAGACACUUAAUGCAAAUGCACAUAGACGAGUAAAACAGUCAAACAUUGCUUACAACAGUGAAAAGAAGCAAUUCAGGAAGUGCUAGAGAAAUGUAUCCUCAGUUUCUUUCCGAUACUUUAACUUUCCGAGACUUUUUCCAUUUUCUCCAACUAUCCUUGGUGGUGCAAGGAUAGGUCUUUCUGGAAACUCUUUUCAAACUGCGUUGGCUUGAUUGCAGCUUCUGACCCAUUUUCCUGUGAUCUGGAGCGGCAUCUAUUCCCUUCUUAGGUUCAGAAUUUCAGUGUAGUUGGUUUGACUUAUUUAUGUUUGCUUUCCCUAAAUCUGUGCUGCUAGAUGGAGUAGGAGCCUUGCUAAAGCUGGUGUGCAAUGGCAAGGUGAGCUGUUUAAGGUCUUUGAGUAAUCUGUUUUGGUUAUGAUGCUAUUGGUUUGCGGGGGGAUGUUUUUUCUGUUUUCAGAUGUUGGUGGGGAAAGGCUGACUCUUCAGAUCUUGUGAUGUGGUCGUGGUUUUUAUGUGCUUUGAGCCUGUGUUUUGUUGGAUGAUUUUUAUUGAGCUGCUGAAUGUACAGGUGCAUUGUGUUGAGCAUUGUACAGGUCAUGUUUUUCUUUUUGUCGGGAUCCUCCUUUGUUUUGGGGAUCAAAAUUGUUUAUGUUGGUUCAGCACUUUAAACAAGGAUGCUGCCCGGUUUUUAUGGGGUUGUUGUCCCGGGUUUAAGAUGCUACGAUGAUUGUAUGAAUGUGCAGAGUGUGUUGUGAUUGUAAUGCUCAGGGUCUGGGGUGGUUCUGCAGCUGAGGGCUGUAUCAAUUGUAUAGAGUGUAGGUUUUUCUCUUUUGGGGAGGAUUUUGUUAUGAUUUUCUAUAAUCUAAGAAUGUCAGAGCAAAAUCAUCUUGUACCGACCAGAGGUGAAUGUUUGUUCCCUCUGUCAUGAAUGCAACUGAACUUUCAAAAAUAAGAUGGAGUAGGAGCCUUGAAUUUUCUGAUCCUGUUGUCCCUACCUCAAGAGCACUUAUUUGGGCAUGAUUACCAGUAGUUCUUCCCUGAUGCAUUGUUACUAAAAAUUAAGUGCUUGAUUUCUGAAAAAUCACAGUUUGAAAUGCAGACCCAGAUAGGCCUAAGAAUGAUAAGGCAACCAUACUUAUGGACACAAUCCAAAUGCUUAAGGAUUUAACUGCAGAAGUGAGCAGGCUAAAGGAUGAGUGUUCAUCACUAACUGAAGAAUCACGUGAGGUGACAUUUUCUUAAUAUUGAGGCCUAUAGAGUAUGGCACUGUUACUUGCUUUUGAUAUUUACAUUUUUGUUCCAAACAGCUGACUCAAGAGAAGAAUGAGCUCCGAGAAGAAAAGGCAUCUCUAAAAGCUGAUAUUGAUAACCUUAAUGUUCAGUAUCAGCAAAGACUUAGGGUCAUGUUCCCAUGGAAUGGUAUUGAUCCUUCGGUUGUCAUGCCUCCACCUUAUUCAUAUCCAGUUCAUCUGCCUUUACCUACGGGCCCAAUUCCAAUACACCCCUCGCUGCAGCCAUAUCCACUUUAUGGAAAUCAUAAUCCAGGUGCCAUUGCCAAUCCCUGCUCAACCUUCAUGCCAUAUUCAGCCACCACUAAUACUCCAAUCGAUCAGCCAUCAUCACAACAUGCAUCCUCUUCCCACACUUCUAUCAAAAGAGAUUCUAGAAGCAAAUCGAUGGAUGAGCAAAGAGGAAGUAAUGGAGAUAGAUGUGAUGGUUCUAAUGAUGUGGCGACAGAACUUGAACUUAAAAUGCCUGGAUCAUCAACAAACCAGGUAAAUUUUAUCAGUCUACAACCCUGGUUAUAGUGUCUGGGAUGCUGAAAACUGAGUGUAACAGAAUUUUUUGUAUGCAGGAAUUGUCUGCUGGAGCAAAAAAAGGCAAGCAAACACAGAAGGAGAGAAGUAUGGUCAAUGGUAGCUCUUCAAGCCGGUACUCUUUAUCUCAAGGUCUUCAGGAUAGCUCCUCUGACAGUGUGGAUGAUGUUCCAAAUUCCAACAAGUGAACAACUUUUGUCUUGUUACUUUGACUAUUCACAGUGCUAGCAUCUCAAUCUAACAUGUCUUGACUGUGACACCGGGCAGCAUUAUCUUGAUUUCAGCUUAAACACGUUAAGUUCCGAGAACUAGUCUCCAAUAUGGAAGCAAGGGUUGUGUCAAAAGAAGUAUGGAAACAAGGGCGUAUUUUCUGCAUGCUGCCAGAUUCUUUUGCCAUUUGAAGGGUCUGGAAGAUGCACAUCUCUAUCACACUUCCAUAUAUUUGACUUAAAAACAAAAACUCUAAUCUUCCCCAUCUAGGUUAAACCAUCGGUAAAGCUUGGCCAGUCCUGGAUGAUUCCAUCCUUUAGGUGUAUGUGCAUUGUAAAUUCUUUCUGUUGUUAAAUACCAUUUGACAGUCAUUAUGAUUCUGUCAUGUUCAUUUACAAAAUCGAUGCAAUGAUCUGGAUAUGCUAUAAUGUCAUCUAGAAGAACUGCUGUAUUUUUUUUUUUUUAUUUGGGGUCAUGGAUAACCUGUUGUCAAUGGUGGAAACUUUGAUGAUCUGGCUGCAAGAUCUGCUUGUAGAUCAUAAUGGUGGCAUUUACAAUUCAUUGGAGAAGGUGUCAGGAGUCAGGAUAUCGGACCCCUUGAUGAAUAAUGAUUUUUCUUUUCCACCAAGUUUUCUUUUGAAAGUGAACCGUAAGAGACAUAUAACCAACCAUGGAAGCUCCACCGGCCCACUUGCCAUUGCGGAUGACUGAUACUAACUUUGCAAGCCACUAACACUGAUGGACUUCUUACCUUUCAAAAGGUCCAGCCGUUCCCACUGCAAUUAUUGCAGUUAAACAACUCUCCAAGCCUCCAACAAGUUGACACUGGCCUUCCUUUCGCUGUUAGCAGUCAUAAUUUACCAUUUUCUUUGCUUUAUUGGAUGAAGCAGCGAGGAAGUGGCUCUUGCUACUUGCGUUUUUGGCCGCAACAAGGGAAGCAAGUACGACUUAAGCCUCAUUUCGCAAUCAGGGUGCCCUGUAACAAACAGACUUCACGCCUAAUAUUAGCAGGAAAGAUGAUAACACCCUGCCCACGUGAUCCUCAAGAGAAUCAAAUCUAUCCUUCGACAUACAAGCUUGAUGGUUGGAUCGUUAAGUUUGUUUACUGAAGAGGAGCUGGCAAAGCUGAAAUUGGUACCACCCUUAGACCAGGGAAAGAUGCUGUUGCAUGGGGAGACAGAGUGUGCCAACCCCUGCAGCCCUGCCCAGCUUUGCUGUAUUAACCAUAUGUCUAAUGUAUUUCUGUUAGAUUUAAGAUUCUUAUCAACGUUCUUUAUGACCAGAAUACAGAGCAGUAACAAGAACACAGGUAGAGACGAUUAACAAGAUACUAUUAACACAUGGAAUAAAAUUCGGGUGCACCGUAAUUUCAUUGAUAAAUUAUUUAUAGUCACAUAUUACAAAUAUGGAGGGUACAAGAAGGAAAAUACCCAACCAACGAAUGUACACAGUAGGACCAUAUACCUGGAGCUCUCUCACUACCAGAGCCAACAUCAACUCUUAUAUCCAAAGACCUCUCAGCAGUGGAUUCCCCGAAGUGGGACGCCAUCACACAAAACUCGAGUCAAAAAGGGUCCCUAGAAUGCUGAUGGAGACAGGUAGAUGGGAAGCCUGCUUGGGGUCUUACAAGUACCAAGCAGCAAAAGCUGCUGUCUUUUCGUCUCUCCACCGAUCAACCCUCAAUAAUUCAAUUCCAACCUAUAACUUACAAGUAUUCCGCUGACCAGAUGGACUAGGUACAUUCUUUGAACCCAUGCUUGCAGUUCGUAGAAGUCGGCGAAAUUCUGAAAGGCUUAUUUUUCCAUCUUUAUCAAUGUCAGCCUCCUCAAGCAAAGGGUCAAUGGAACCUCUCAAGCCGGUGUGCUACAAAACAAUUGCACAAUGUGAAUUAUUACGCUAGUAACGAUUCCUCAUAAAAUGUUUAGAUAGAUAACACUUUUGAUAGCAAUGACAUUGGCCUCUUGGACACCAGGACACCCUAGACAAAAUUCAAGUUUUCGUAUAUUAUAAUAUUAAACCUAGCUUUCACCCAACGUCGCAUGGCUACACUGAAUUGCAGAAUUAGUGCAGUUGAUGACCACAGCAGAAUUACCAUAUUUCCUUUUCCUUUCUUUUUAGAAGGAAAAAGAUAAACGCCACAAAAUAAAACUUACCAUUCUAAGCUCCUCUGGAGUUAUAAAGCCGUCUCUAUCUACAUCAAAUUUCUCAAAAGCAGCCUGUGACCGCUGCUGCCAUUUAUCAGAAUCAUGUUCUUCCAUUUGAUUCACAUGUAGAGCAGCCGCAACAAACUCAGUGAAAUCAACAAGGCCAUCUGUGUUGCUAUCAAUCUGAGAUCAAAGAAAAUAAACAACUACACAACAAUCAAAACCACUAAAAGGAAAAAUACUACCAUUUACAAGAGAGAAAGCAAAGGGAAGAAAACAAGAAUCAGACAAAAAACAGGAAACCUGUACUCACCGCUUGAAGGAUCUCAAGAACACGUGAUUCCUUCAACUUCCAAGGAAGAUCUUUAGCAAGGGCCUGCACUGAAACCAUCCUUAUUAGGACUAAACUCUGUGCAACCUAAUAGACGUUUAUGAAAGAAAUGUUUACCUGUCUCAUCUCUUCAAGACUAAUAGAACCAUUCUUAUCCACAUCAAUUGCAUCAAACUGAUCCCGAAGAUCAGCUAUCUCCUCUUCAUUAAGCGUGCCAGCCAACGCCUACAAGUAAUAAUUAUUUUUAAAGAGAUGAACAAUGAAAGGAGGGAACAGUAGCCUCUAAUGCCCAUAAAAUAAUCCACCAAUAUUUGAAGAGGAAGAAAAACUGUUACCCUCAGAGCAAACUGCUUCAAUCGACUGUACUUCACAAAUUGCCGCAGGUUGUUCAGAACAGAUAUAUCAACAGGAAUCUCAGAUGCAUUUCCUCCUUCUCUAACCCAUGGGUGAGCUGGAGAAGUUGAACCAAUCAGAUAUUCUAGAAAUAAUAGGAGGAUAAAAUGAUAACACCGUAGAAGAUUUACUUUAGUAGCUAACAGCAAAGUUGACAUGUAAUACCACUUCCUUAGAGCUAGAAAGAAAAAAGGAAAAAGAAUAAUUUACUAAGAGAUGAUGUGAACACAUACAUAGGGCCUGAGCAGCUGUCAGUCUAGCCUGAGGAUCCUUCACCAAUAACUUCUUCACAAAGUCUUUAGCACUGUUGCUAAUUGUUGGCCAUGGUUUACGACGAAAAUCAGGCUUGUUCUUCAAAACCUGAAGUUAUAGACAGUUGCAUAAGAAUUCUCCAGAAAAUAUACGUAUUAUCAAAAAAACAGAAGAUAACACAUCUUAGACACAAAUAAUUAAGUGAAUUUCAUAGGAAAAAGCAUGAUUAUUCAGGGAAAACAAAAGCCAGCUAGAGUAACUUGGAGGGUGAACAUAAUCUCCAGAAUUCUUCCAUACAUAACUAGAGCAUAAAGGGUAAAAUGGAGUGCACAGGAUUCCACAAGUAUGGUCAUCAGUUCAUGUGAAAUGCACAUGGUGAAGAAACAAGUAAAGCACAAUGUAGUUUUCUGUCUACAUAUGAUAAUAAUAUAAUAAAAUGACAAAACCCAUAAAAAGCAGUGAAAAAAAAAAAUCAAAGUCCAUGAUUAAAAUGUAGUCACCUCCUUAAAUAUGCCAUCCUCUGUCUUAUCCCAAAAGGGCCGUUUCCCACAGAGCAAAAUAUAGGUAAUCACACCAAUACUCCAUACAUCUGAUUCAGGCCCUGACCUUCGUUUUAAUACUUCAGGAGCAACAUAGUAGGCACUGCCAACGAUAUCUUGAAACCUCUUCCCUGCAUUUGGUAAUAGCUUAGGAUUGUAUGGCUUGGAUUUUUGUGGCAUGAGGAUUAUAAAAUUAGCAAGUAGAAGAGGGUGUAUGUAUAAAGACAAGAGUUGGAAAAAUGAAAAAUGCAGAAUAGAUGGAUUAAUGGAUCACAUUAAUUUAAAAAAAAAAUUCAAUCAUGAGCAAUGACAAGAUCUCUACAUAAGCAAAUACCACUCACCAGGUCUGAUAAAGUCUGACAAACCAAAAUCUGUAGCCUUCAGAGGUGAGUCCGCUCUGGUUGACUUAAAUAGGAAAUUCUACAGGCAAGAAACAACAAAGGAACCAUUAGUAAGCAGCAUGACUUCCUAAAGAGGAAGUUUACAAGUAAGCCAUGUUAAUGUACUUGAGCAUACCUCGGGUUUCAUGUCACGGUGCACCAAGCCACGCAAAUGACACUCAGCAGCAACUUUGAGCAUCUGCCGUACAACUACUGCUGCAUCCUUUUCACUAUAACGACUGUCCUUUCUGACAGAAGAUGGCAAACAUAAGGUACUACUGGUUGUGACACUAUUCGAAACAUCAACAGAAAGAAAGUACUGACAACUAUAUUUGGACCAUAAAAACACAUUAUUUAGCAGUAACAGCAUCCCAAAAUCAAUUAACUAAGCAUCCUUACUUGGCUAAUAUCCGGUCCAGCAAUUCUCCACCCUCACAUAACCUAGCAUCAGACAGCAAACAAAUAAUAGAGUCAAGAGAUAGGAGGAUUGAAAUGAAAGUAUAUAAUUGCAGAGCCAAAACCAAAGAUAUUGCCAAGGCAAAACUAAACAUCAGAAGACAUGAAAAAGGAAAUGACACAAUUAAGAGAAAAUCAGAACAAAAUAGAGAACCAGAAAAGAAGAUAAAAAUUAUGGAAACUUACUCCAUAACAAUGUAUACAUAGGAAUCAUCCUCAAAUGCAUUAUAGAACUGAACCACAUUCUCAUGGCCUUUCAGGGCUUCCAAUAUCUUGACCUCUCGCUUGACAUCCUCAACAGCAAUGGGAAGAACCAUCUGUGCCCAACCCAGGGAUUUAAAAGAAGAAAAAGAAAAAAAAAAUGUCCCACUUCAAGGUGGACAAGGAAAGAAUCUAAUGCCUCUAGAAUUCUUUAUCAGUUAAAUACUUAACCAUCAUCCACGAUGCAUCUAUGGUAAUGGCAGAAAUAGUUAUUGCACAACUAGAUAGGAAAACAAAAAGUCUUUCCAUUCGCAUAACCUCAUUUAGAAAACUAAGCUCUCUACAACAAGCUAUUUCGUAUCAGCUACAAAGUUUAGCAGGCAAUAAAGAAAUAAAAAUUGCCAACACUGGAACACUUUUCUUGCUCAAAGGAACAUGGUUGCUACUCAGAACAGUUCGUUAUGCAUUUGGAGAUAAGAAAAAAAAACAUGGAAAAUAAAGCAACACCCCAUCACGAACGCAGAGCAAGAGACAUUGAACUUAUGAAAUUUACAAUAGUUAAUUUAGUGGAACUACAACAUCUUCUUGUUGAUCUCCCCACUAUGCUUCUAUGGAAUUCAGUGUCAGCCAGAACUACAAAAUACACGCAGGUUAAAGGUUGCAGCUUCACAUCAAAAGUACCAAUUACGAUGACAAUCAAAUUCAAUCACUGCAAACUUGCAAUCACAAAUUGCUAAAAAGCAAGCUCGCCGUACCAAGAUCUCAAAACUGUAAUAAGAUUGUCAAGCCGAAGAAAGAUGCAACAUCCUCAAAGCUCAACGAGGUUAUUGCGGAUCCUCCACCAACUUUUGCCAUACUUAAGACAAUGAUGCCUCUAAUUACGAUCAACCAGGCGGGAAAAAAAGUGAAUUCUCCCAUCAUUAGAUUAGAAAACAGAGAAGAGAAAAGUUCUCUUAGACUUGCUUCAUGUUCAAGACAAAGCAAAUUAAUAUAUAAAAAAUCAAUAAGGAAUCCAAAGCAGAAGCCAAAAUUCCCUUAACGCCACCAUUAUCAAAAAUUCCAAUCCAAAUUAAACUCCAAAAAACCCCACUUUUAAUUUAUCAGAUAAAAAUAUCGCCUUCCCUCCCCCCGAAGAAAAAUCCCACCUUGAAUAUCACAGACAACAUAUAUAACCACAAAGAACAGUGAAUCAGAAAAAUCCCAAGAACCCAGAAGCAUAAACAACAGAAGGAUUACAAAAACAUUAAAAAAACAAUACCUUAUUUUUCUCAAUUUUCUUAACGGCAACCCGAUCCCCAUUUGCCUUGUCCGUGGCAACAUAGGUGUAACCAAAUUGUCCAUGUCCCAACAAUUUCCCAAUCGUGUAACGCUUAUCAAAAUCCUUAUGGUACCCAAAAUCCGUACGUUUCCCACACGGGAUGAUCCCACUCUGCCUCCUCGCACUUGGUUUCCCUUUGACCUUUAAAGGCUGAGAAUUCCUCACCUGCUGCUGCUGCUGACCCUGUUGACCGCUAGGCUUUUGAGACUCUUUUUUCUCAUUUGUCAUCGUUGUGGUGGAUUGUUGUUCUUUGCGGUGGUUCACGCCGGCGUUGCUGCUUGAGCCACUGACUUUGGUGGUAGAGAGACAGGCUCCCAUGAUGAUAGCAAGCAAAAGAAGAAAGCAGAAGAGGAUAUCAAAGGAAUGAGCUUCAAAGAUGGAAUUCCAUGGGAAAAAAAAGGAGAAAUGAAAUAAAUAGAAAAAAGGGCAAAUGAUUAAGCCCCCACGAAGAGAAAGAGAAAGAGAAAGGAAGGAAAUGAGAUAGGAAAGAAGGGAGGAAGAAGGGAAGAAGGAGAGGGGCGUGAUGGUGGUGCUGCCAUGGUCAAAAGAGACUUUUUAUUUUUAUUAUUUAUUUUAAUAAUUAUUUUAUUUUUAUGACCAAAAAAAAAAUAUCAAUGAGGUUUCUUUUUUGGUUUUUGUUUUUUUUUAAAUAACAGAAAAACAAAAAAGACAAUUUAUUUUUCUCAUUGAUUGACAAAAUAUUGGAUUCCAAUACCUGAAUUAACUGCUUAUCUAAUUAUACCUUUAAUCUUCAUCAUGCUGCCAAAUUUUAAUCUUUUUAGAUUUUCCCUUUUAGUUUUAACAACUGAAAAUUAUUUCAUCAUUUUUUCUGUCUCAUCAUUUCCAUUUCUAGAAGGGAAAAAUGCAUUUCACAUUUUGGAAUUAAUUUCAAAUGGGUCUUUCCCCCCUUGUCUUGUCAUCAUUAAAUAAAAAUUAUUAAGAGUAAUCUAUUUUUAGAAGCAAUUGAUGCAUUGAUCUAAUCAUAAAGUAUCAUUACGUAAAUAUGCAAAAUAAAAAUUUGAUAGUGAUUCAGAAUAAGUAUUUUUAAUUUUUUUAAAAUUUAUUUAUUAAUAAAAUGAUAACAAAAUAAAUAAAUUACCAUUUACAAUUUAUUCAAUCAAGUAAAUAAAGAAACAUUGGUAAGAUUGGCCUUUCUCUUUUUGGCCAAAACAAACCAUUGGCCUUACAAAGACCAGAGCUUAUGCAAAAAUCAAAAAUCAAAAAUAAAAACUCGAGAUCAUAAUAAAAUUUUACAUUUGGAUUCAUAAUAAAAUUUGUAAGAUUUAUUUAUCCAUAUAUGAUUUUAGAAACAAUGUACCAUCAAAAUUAAGGGCAAAUCGCUUUAUGAAUAUAGGUGUACCAGUCUUGAGUGGUUGCUAUCUAAGAAUCCCUUUAAUAAUUACAAUUUUACUUUUUUUUUGUCAAAAAAUAAAACAAGCAUCAAAUCCAAUUUUUUAAUAUAAAAAAAUACAUCAAUUAUUGAGUUUUAUCAAUCUAACACUUGGCCAUGUAUAUCAAGACAGAAAUAUGAUAUAAGCAAAUUAGAAUUGUUGACAAUUUUCUUUAAUUUUGUUGAUUUAUAAACGAAUUUUACAUACGUAUCAAAUUAUCAAUAUAUUACAUACUUUUCAUUUUAUCAUAUUAAAAUUUUUGAAAAUAAAAUAAGAUAAUGAAUGAAAGCAACAUGCAAACUUUUAAUGUUUAAGAUGAUUUGGUUGAUAUACUAGUCAAAUAAGCAUCAAAAAGAAAUAACCAUGGCUUUAGUACAAAAUUUGCAUGAGGUUUCUUGUUUCUCACUAUAAAAAGAAUUAAAAAGAAAAUAUUCAAUCAAACUAAAUUAAUAAAUGUUCUUGAACCAAAGCAUUUCGAAAGCAGAAGUCUAAUUAAGAUUAAUGUUCUAAGUUAGGAAGCUGUCGGUGUGUCAAAAUAUGUUAUGGUCAAACUCUCCCACGUUUGAUUUUAUCACACCGUCAUCCGAAUGCUGCUGCCAUUGUCUCUUGUAAAGUUUCCAUAUUUACCUGUCUCUGACAGCCUCUCACUGCUGUCCCAAGGACUUUCACCUGCCUGGAAAAGUGAUUUAAGAUUGAUUAACCAGGGGAAAUUGUUGUUUGGAUUCCCUGUUAAAUUGGGUUUCAAUCGAAGUUUGCUCCCGGGAUUGAAUUUGCAUCCAGUUUUCUUGUUGAUUAUCGUGACAGAGUGAAGAAG